RNAcentral lists this long non-coding RNA (82846 nucleotides) under Ananas comosus (pineapple). RNAcentral's name for it is "long non-coding RNA (ACOM_LNC029669)". Lineage: Eukaryota; Viridiplantae; Streptophyta; Magnoliopsida; Poales; Bromeliaceae. The record is from RNAcentral.
AUUUAUAAUCUUUUUAUUAGGUAAAUUACAUUUUUAUCUCUUAAUUUUGGAGCUCAACACCAAUUUAAUUCCUAAACUUUAAAAUUUCUCAAUUAACGGUUUAUAGUUUAAUAAAUAUAAUAACAACAAGUUCUAAUUUCUAAAAGAGUCCCAAUUAAGUCCUAAUUUCGGUAGAAAAUGUUUAUUAAUGUAAGCUUUUUAAAUGAUUGAAUUUUGUAGGUAGUAUUAAAUAAGGAGAUGGCACUGCCCUCGUUAAUGUUGCCAAGAUCGCGGAGGCAGUGGAGGAGGCGAUGAGGGUCGGAAAGAAAGAAAAACUAAGGAAAAAAAGAAGAGAGAGAAAGGAAUAAGAGUAUUUUGAUGAGUUUGUUAAAAAUCCGGCACGAAUCUACAAAAUCGAAAAAUGCGGCCCGACUUUGCAAAAUCGAAAAAUGCGGCCGCUAAUACAAUAAUUGAAAUUAUAUUUAUUUUAAUUAAGCUUGUUCUCAGGUUGGAACAAGCUUAACAAGCUUGAUAUCCAAAAAGGUUGGAACAACAGUUUCAGAUUUAUACCAUCUUAUACCAACUUAUUCUCCCACGUAAGAAAAAAAAAAAGAGCUUAUUUUCUCACUUGUUCCACGACCAAACAGAAUUUAAGACUUUUAAAGGAACAAGUUCCCCCCUGCUGCUAUAGAGAGAGAGACCAACUUAUUCUCCCAAGUAAGAAAAAAAGAGCUUAUUUUCUCACAUAUUCCACGACCAAACAGAGUUUAAGACUUUUAGGCUGCGUUUGGUUGGAGGGAUAUCCCAGAACAAGGCGGGAUAUCCCUCCAAACGCAAUGCAUUUUGGAACAACCGGAUUGUUCCCGGAACAACCCGUUAAGCCGGGAACAACCCGGUAAGCUUGUUCUCCCUAAAAGGGAGAACAAGCCGGAACAAGAGAUUUGGGCUUUUUUUUUUUUUUUUUUUUUUUCUGGCCUUUUAAUUUUUUAUACUUUAUUUUAAUUAAUUUCAAAUAAAUUAAAUGAAUGCUCAAAUUUAAUAAAUAAAUAUAUUAAUAUAAAUAUUAUUUUUAUGGUAAUAUAUUUAUACUUAAAUUUUAUUAUAUAAUAUAAAUUAAUUAAAUUUGAUAUAUAUUUUAUUUUAUUAAGUUUUAUCAUUUAUAUAUUAAUAUUUAAUUAUUUUAUUUUAUAUUAAUUAUUAUAUACAUAAAAUUAUUUUUUCAUAUAUUAUAUAUAUAUUUUAACUUGUAUUGAAAUUUAUACUUAAAUUUUUAUGAUAAUAUAUUUAUACUUAAAUUUUAUUAUAUAAUAUAAAUUAAUUAAAUUUGAUAUGUAUUUUAUUUUAUUAAGUUUUAUCAUUUAUAUAUUAAUAUUUAAUUAUUUUAUUUUAUAUUAAGUGUUAUAUACAUAAAAUCAUUUUAUCAUAUAUAUAUAUAUAUAUAUAUAUUAAUUGUAUUGAAAUUUAUACUUAAAUUUUUAUGAUAAUAUAUUUAUACUUAAAUUUUAUUAUAUAAUAUAAAUUAAUUAAAUUUGAUAUAUUUUUUAUUUUAUUAAACUCUAUCAUUUAUACUUUAAUAUUUAAUUAUAUAUAUAUUUUUUAUUCGUAUUAAAAUUUAUACUAAUUAUUAAUUAAAAAUAUAGGGAUAUUGUUAGUAUUAUACUUUAUUCAUUAAUAUAUUAUGAAUAAAUUAUAGAAAAUAAAUUAUUACAUAAAAUAAAUUAUUAUAUAUAAUAAAAUAAUAUAUAUUAUUUUAAAUUAGAUUCUUACAUAAAAUAUUAUAUUAUAAAUUACUAUAUGAAAUAAUUUUAUAAAUAAUUUUAUAUAAAAUAUACUAAUAUAAAUUAAUUAUUUUAUUUUUAAAAAUAUAUUUAGACGUUGUUCUAGACUUUUUAUCCAAACGCUAUUAAGGAUAUCCUCUAGAAUAUCCUUGAAUGCAUCCAAACACAAAUUUACAAUUGUUCUAUCUUAUACCGGAAUAUCCCCUAUUCUCGGGAACAACAAAAGUUGUUCUCCAAAAUUUAGUUCUCCAACUAAACGCAGCCUUAAAGGAACAACCAAGCUUGUUCCCACCCACCCCCUGCAGCUAUAGAGAGAGAGAGACCAACUUAUUCUCCCAAGAAAAAAAAAAGCUUAUUUUCUCACUUGUUCCGCUACCAAACAGAGUUUAAGACUUUUCCGCCCUGUGUGGAUUGGGUACAAAAGGAGGAUAAGAGCCUUAUCCGCCCUAUUGUACCCAAACAAAAAUUUUUGGAUGGGAACUAUUAGUUCCCACCUAGGGUGGAAAUAGCUUGUUCCCAUCCACCUAGGGGUGGAAACGAGCCGAGCUCGAGUGAGCUUACCUUGGCUCAAAUUCGGCUUGAAAUUAAUUUCGAGCCUAAAUUUAAGCUCAAGAUUGUAUUGAAAUUAAUUCGAACCGAGCACGAGCGAGCCAAAUUUCGAGUCGAGCGAGCUCGAGCCCUAAACGAGCCGCUUGAAAUUCUCAACAUCAUACGAUCAAUAGUUUAAUUUGUAUAGAAUAUUAUAUAUAAUUUGAUACAAAAAUACGUCUAAUAGUUCAAAGUACAAAAUAAUUCUAUGAAAUAUAGUAUUAUAAUAUGAAGAAAAAUAAUUUAUAAGUUGAAUACUUAAUCUUUUCAGGCUCACAUGUCUUCUCUUCCACCUUCAAUCUCCAAAUUAUUCAUUUUAUUUAUGCAGUCAAAAAUAUAUAAAUUAUAUAGAUAAAUAUUGGAUUAAACUAUCCAAUUAUAUAUAACUAAAAUUAAAAUUUUAUAUAAAUAAUAACUUUUUACUAUAAAAAUAUUCUGUAUAUUUUCUCAAGCAUACAAUUAAUAGCAAGGUAGGUAACGGCGGGCAUAUACUGUUAUUUGGUAACUUGGAGGACUUCUGGCUUGACUACUUAGGGUGAGAGAUAGAAAAAAAAAAAAGAGAGAAACAUAUUGAAAUUUUAGAGCUCUGUGAAAGAAAGAAAAAAAGAAAAAAAGUAUAAAUUUAAUGAAAUUUUGCUCUUUUAUUUAUCUAUUGGGUUUGUUUUUAUAGGCUAAUAACAUUGGCCCAAUUUUAACUAAACUCAGAUUAUUCACUCUGACUAUAUAUAAUUAAAAAUAUAUUAUAUUUAUAUAUUUUUUAAUAUAUAUAUAUAUAUAGAGAGAGAGAGAGAGAGUCCGGCUAUGGUGCUUGUAAAAGUAUCAAGCACUUGGUGCUUGUAAAUAUUUUACCGUUAGAUCUCUACCUUUGAUCAUUUUUACCCGUUAGAUUAUACUAUUCAACCAACCACCCACUCAACCCUAGGGGGCCCACAUCAUCCUAACCGCACAUCCUUUAAUCCAAUGGCCGAAAACUUGUAAGUACGAAUGACUUGGUACUUUUAAAUGUAUAGGAGCUCAAUUAUAUAUAUAUAGAAGGUGAGCAAUUGUGCUCAGCAUUGACCAACGAUCAGCCUCUGGUGCUCACCCUCGAGGCAUCAGGACACGCCUGCGAUCGCGCGCGAAUAAGCGUUGGCGCAACCAAACAGCAGCCAAAAGGCUGAAACGGAGCGAAUCGCCCGAACAGCGGAACGGGCCUCCCGCGGAACAAAGGUGAGCACGAUGAUCAGCAACAUUGCCCAGAGCAUCGUGCUCUGCUUCCGUAGAGAUCGGGGAAGCCUCGGGAAGCCCAGAAGAGGAAACCCACUCAAUAAGCUCCAUUCGUGCUUGGCCGAGCAACCUUUGCUCCGGCCGGCCGUCCGGCGGCACGACGGCGUGCGGCGGGCCCUGAGUCGGGUGAGGGGAGUGAGGAACACCGUGCUCACGCUCAGGUGCGCUGAAGCGGCGGCGGCGGCGGCGGAGCACCGCCCGCACGAAGAUUCGAGCUGGGUUCCAGGAGUUGCUUGCGGCCACGGACGGCGGCGGAGGCCCGGGCGCGGAGGCGGAUGCAGGAGGUCGGGGGAGUUACCGACGGGUGUGCCAAGGGGCGGCGGCGCUGGAAGAGUGCCGCACUACGGCUUCUGCUCGGGCUGCGGGUUGGGGCCGCGGCUGGCCGGGCGGCGACGGCGGCGCGUCGGCGGCGCGGGCGACCGCGGGAAGGGGCGCCCGGGCACGCGGGAAGACGACGGGAGGGUCCAGCGUGGCGACGCACUGGCGGCUGUGGCAACCGCCGCUCGCCUGACUCGGCCUGGCUGCUGCAGGGCGGCUGGAGCGGCUGCGGCGGGCCGGCGCGAACGGCGGCGGUCGACGGGGAUGCUCGCGCGGGAGCACGGGUGACACCGAGGGAGGGUCGCAGAGGCGCAGCCCCGGGCCUUUCACACAACUCGCGAGAGAGAGAGGGAGAGAGAAAGAGAUGGAGAAAGAGAGAAGUGGCGGCUGCGGCGGGGUUGCCGCCGUGGCUCAGACGUGGCGGCAGGGGUUCGCGUAGGGGCAGGGGAGAGGAUGAAGGUGGCUGGGGCUAGGGAGAACUAGGGUAUAGGUUAGGUGAGCAACAAAACCUAAAGAGCAAACUAUAUAACAAGGGCAACUGUCAAAAGUGUCGUCACCAAACACCGGAAUUUCACAUCCGACCUUCACCGGAACGAGCUAAAAACGCGUGAACGACUUCUCACGUGCGAUCUCAGCAAACGGUACAUAAAAUAUCGCGACUUUACGAAAAUAGCGUUUUUGGGCCACUACCGGACCUCUCUCGUAUCAACGUGGCGAUCUCCGCAGAUCCGUCCUCAGAUUUGUGAACGGAUUGCACAGUGCGAUCAGCACCUCGAGACAACAAAGCUGGCGAUUUCCGUUUCGUCUUGAUCGACCACCGAUCACGACAAUCCAACCUUCUCCGAAUAGAAGGAAACAGCACACAACAAUACUAUAUACAAAUAUGUAUUUUUGAUUUUCUCGAAAUCCGUGCCGUCAAAAACCAAAUCCGCUCAGCGGCCAGUAGUUCCAAACAGCUGACGUCCGGUCGAACGAGCUAAUUGGAACUGUGCUAUGAACAGAGUCCUGGUAUGGCGAGCCAAACGGCCAACUGCUCACCGCGCCCUUCUCCCGGAAAAUGAGUUACAUUCACUAUUUAAGUGAAACUUGGAAAUCGCGUAGAAUGUUUCGUUUUAAACUCGUAUUUCGCCCGAACUUGACUGACGUGCUUUUGUAAUUAAUUACUCACACAAAAACAUCCGUCAACUGAGAGAUUUAGCUACGCUGGCAAAAAUUCAGUCCUUACAAUUACGUACCGAGCGUCUCGUACUAUAGUGUUGGUUUUCGAUCUUAGGGCGUUCAAUCAACGACCACAUCCGUUUAACUGAUCUAGGUAAUUUUUUAAAGUUCUAGAAUAAAUUUGAUAUUUUUCGACAUAGUUUACUUAUGAUCAAACUAUUUCAAAAUCUGCAAUUUCAAUGGCUAUUUAUGACGAGUUGGAGUAACGGUGUAGAAGCAUCUAAAUUUCGUCAAAAUUUUGAUAGAAAAUACUUUAAAACUAUAUAGAUUAUAGUAACAUCUUGAUCUUGAAUUUAAAGAUGUCCUAUACUUCAAUUUAAAGAUUAUUCAUUUUCCAAACCGCCAUUUUGAUAUAAUUUUAUUUAUUAAGUAAACGAUAUCGAAAAAAACUAAAAUUUUAUUCUAAGAAAUUCAUGAUAUGCAGAUCAUAUUUAAGUCGUGUGGAUGUGAUUUGAACGCCCUAAGAUCGAAAUCAAACACUAUACGUACUGGAGCUACGUACUUAUAAUAGUAUAAGUACUAAUUCUAUAUAUAUAUUAUAUUAUAUAUAUAUAGUAUAUAUAUAUAUAUAUANNNNNNNNNNNNNNNNNNNNNNNNNNNNNNNNNNNNNNNNNNNNNNNNNNNNNNNNNNNNNNNNNNNNNNNNNNNNNNNNNNNNNNNNNNNNNNNNNNNNAGGGAUUUGGGAGUAAAAUCUAAGUCCUCUGUGAAGAACAGGUAAAAGAGCUCAAAGGGGGCGCUUCUCAGCUAUUUAUAGGGUGAAAAUGGGGUCAGAUGAACCUCAGAAACAAAGGCUGCAAUUUGCUGUCCCUGCAGAAAAUCCGAGAUCUGGGUGCCCUAAACUCAGUUCUGGGCGCCCUAAACUUCCAGCCUGCACAAAACAGCCCUCAUCGAUUCCUUCGCCUGCGGUAUGCUGCACCCUUAUCCUGCUCCGGCGGCCCACACCUACCACCAGCCACGCGUCAACACGAUCGAUAUUCAUGAUGUAGAAUUUUCGGACCCACUUCUGGGCGCCCAGAACAUAGGAUCCGAAUUGGAUUCCAGUUUCAGUUAAAUUCAGCACUCAGUACUGGGUGACCUAAAUCUAUUUCUGGGUGCCCUAAACUUCUGGGCGCCCUAAAUCCAGUUCUGGGCGCCCUAAACUAGCAAAACUCCAGUUUUGCUUAUUUGAGUGCGCCGAAUCCAUUUCUGCAUCUAUUUCGCGUAGAAACAACUCCGACUCAGUCCGACACUUUCCAGAAGCGUCGACCUGUCACUAAUACUAAAGCCAAUCCUAUCCGAAGCUCAGAAACACUACAUCCUCCCCUACUACAAAAAGUUUCGUCCGCGAAACUGAACACAUACCUCAAUCCAGGGCCUCAAACAGGUAGGGGUAGGACUCCCUCAUCACCGUCUUCGGCUCCCAAGUCGCCUCCCGCUCCUCAUGAUUACUCCACUGUAUCUUUACAAAGGGUAUGACCCGUUGCGCAAUUCUCUCGACUCACGAGCCAGAAUCCGCACCGGUUGCUCCUCGUAACUCAGGUCCUCGCCAAUCUUAAGCGGAGUGAAGUCAAUCACGUGGGAGGGGUCGAACAUAUAUUUCCUUAAAGCCGAGACGUGGAACACAUCAUGAAUGCCGGCUCGCCGUGGUGGUAGAGCAAUUCUGUAAGCAACUGGCCCGACUCUCUCCAAAACCUCGAAAGGGCCUACAAAACGUGGACUGAGCUUUCCACGUACUCCAAAUCAGCGAAUCCCUCCGGACGGCGAGACUUUAAGAAAAACAUGAUCUCCCACCUGGAACUCCAAGUCUCGUCUCCGGGUAUCAGCAUAGCUUCUCUGUCGACUCUGGGCUGCUAAUAUGUGCCGUCGCGCCUCUUUUACCUUUUCCUCAGCCUCAAUCAGAAUCUCAGGCCGAAGCGUCCUCCUUUCACCCACAUCACUCCAAAACAAAGGGGAUCGACAUCUGCGUCUAUACAACGCCUCAAACGGAGCUAUCUGGAUGCUCGCUUGAUAGCUGUUGUUGUACGCAAACUCAACCAGUCUCAAAUGCCGAUACCACCCUCCUCCAAAGUCCAAGACACAUGCCCUCAGCAUAUCCUCUAGAGUCUGAAUGGUCCGCUCUGACUGACCAUCUGUCUGUGGGUGAAAUGCUGUGCUGAACUGCAACUGAGUGCCCAAGGCCGUCUGAAGACUCCUCNNNNNNNNNNNNNNNNNNNNNNNNNNNNNNNNNNNNNNNNNNNNNNNNNNNNNNNNNNNNNNNNNNNNNNNNNNNNNNNNNNNNNNNNNNNNNNNNNNNNNNNNNNNNNNNNNNNNNNNNNNNNNNNNNNNNNNNNNNNNNNNNNNNNNNNNNNNNNNNNNNNNNNNNNNNNNNNNNNNNNNNNNNNNNNNNNNNNNNNNNNNNNNNNNNNNNNNNNNNNNNNNNNNNNNNNNNNNNNNNNNNNNNNNNNNNNNNNNNNNNNNNNNNNNNNNNNNNNNNNNNNNNNNNNNNNNNNNNNNNNNNNNNNNNNNNNNNNNNNNNNNNNNNNNNNNNNNNNNNNNNNNNNNNNNNNNNNNNNNNNNNNNNNNNNNNNNNNNNNNNNNNNNNNNNNNNNNNNNNNNNNNNNNNNNNNNNNNNNNNNNNNNNNNNNNNNNNNNNNNNNNNNNNNNNNNNNNNNNNNNNNNNNNNNNNNNNNNNNNNNNNNNNNNNNNNNNNNNNNNNNNNNNNNNNNNNNNNNNNNNNNNNNNNNNNNNNNNNNNNNNNNNNNNNNNNNNNNNNNNNNNNNNNNNNNNNNNNNNNNNNNNNNNNNNNNNNNNNNNNNNNNNNNNNNNNNNNNNNNNNNNNNNNNNNNNNNNNNNNNNNNNNNNNNNNNNNNNNNNNNNNNNNNNNNNNNNNNNNNNNNNNNNNNNNNNNNNNNNNNNNNNNNNNNNNNNNNNNNNNNNNNNNNNNNNNNNNNNNNNNNNNNNNNNNNNNNNNNNNNNNNNNNNNNNNNNNNNNNNNNNNNNNNNNNNNNNNNNNNNNNNNNNNNNNNNNNNNNNNNNNNNNNNNNNNNNNNNNNNNNNNNNNNNNNNNNNNNNNNNNNNNNNNNNNNNNNNNNNNNNNNNNNNNNNNNNNNNNNNNNNNNNNNNNNNNNNNNNNNNNNNNNNNNNNNNNNNNNNNNNNNNNNNNNNNNNNNNNNNNNNNNNNNNNNNNNNNNNNNNNNNNNNNNNNNNNNNNNNNNNNNNNNNNNNNNNNNNNNNNNNNNNNNNNNNNNNNNNNNNNNNNNNNNNNNNNNNNNNNNNNNNNNNNNNNNNNNNNNNNNNNNNNNNNNNNNNNNNNNNNNNNNNNNNNNNNNNNNNNNNNNNNNNNNNNNNNNNNNNNNNNNNNNNNNNNNNNNNNNNNNNNNNNNNNNNNNNNNNNNNNNNNNNNNNNNNNNNNNNNNNNNNNNNNNNNNNNNNNNNNNNNNNNNNNNNNNNNNNNNNNNNNNNNNNNNNNNNNNNNNNNNNNNNNNNNNNNNNNNNNNNNNNNNNNNNNNNNNNNNNNNNNNNNNNNNNNNNNNNNNNNNNNNNNNNNNNNNNNNNNNNNNNNNNNNNNNNNNNNNNNNNNNNNNNNNNNNNNNNNNNNNNNNNNNNNNNNNNNNNNNNNNNNNNNNNNNNNNNNNNNNNNNNNNNNNNNNNNNNNNNNNNNNNNNNNNNNNNNNNNNNNNNNNNNNNNNNNNNNNNNNNNNNNNNNNNNNNNNNNNNNNNNNNNNNNNNNNNNNNNNNNNNNNNNNNNNNNNNNNNNNNNNNNNNNNNNNNNNNNNNNNNNNNNNNNNNNNNNNNNNNNNNNNNNNNNNNNNNNNNNNNNNNNNNNNNNNNNNNNNNNNNNNNNNNNNNNNNNNNNNNNNNNNNNNNNNNNNNNNNNNNNNNNNNNNNNNNNNNNNNNNNNNNNNNNNNNNNNNNNNNNNNNNNNNNNNNNNNNNNNNNNNNNNNNNNNNNNNNNNNNNNNNNNNNNNNNNNNNNNNNNNNNNNNNNNNNNNNNNNNNNNNNNNNNNNNNNNNNNNNNNNNNNNNNNNNNNNNNNNNNNNNNNNNNNNNNNNNNNNNNNNNNNNNNNNNNNNNNNNNNNNNNNNNNNNNNNNNNNNNNNNNNNNNNNNNNNNNNNNNNNNNNNNNNNNNNNNNNNNNNNNNNNNNNNNNNNNNNNNNNNNNNNNNNNNNNNNNNNNNNNNNNNNNNNNNNNNNNNNNNNNNNNNNNNNNNNNNNNNNNNNNNNNNNNNNNNNNNNNNNNNNNNNNNNNNNNNNNNNNNNNNNNNNNNNNNNNNNNNNNNNNNNNNNNNNNNNNNNNNNNNNNNNNNNNNNNNNNNNNNNNNNNNNNNNNNNNNNNNNNNNNNNNNNNNNNNNNNNNNNNNNNNNNNNNNNNNNNNNNNNNNNNNNNNNNNNNNNNNNNNNNNNNNNNNNNNNNNNNNNNNNNNNNNNNNNNNNNNNNNNNNNNNNNNNNNUUUUUUUUUUUUUUUUUUUUUUUUUUUUUUUUUUUUUGCUCUCGCUUCUUCUCUCUCCCUGUCUCUACUUCCCGUUUUUCUUCGAGGCCCCAGCUACCUCCACCCUGUAUGUCUAGUUCAUUUUCCUUCAGGAAUGAAGUAGGUAGCUUGCUACCUUUUUCUCAAAAAAAAAAAAAUGUGUGUUUUCUUUUCCAUUUUUGUGGAGAAAGUUUUCUACAUGGCAGUGCAUUUUUUUUUUUUUAAUUGUGAUUCAUCAAGAUAUUAAAAAAAAUAAUAAUAAUGUUACACUGGCUUUCGUUUGUGUAUGAGCGAAUGAAAUGGAUGAUUACAUAUUACAGAUAUGAAAUGGAAAUGUGAAUAAACGACUCCAUUCACUUUAUUUAUCUCACACUUUUAAUUCCGUGCUUUGCUAUUUAAACAGAGAAAACUGCUACAACUUAGUAAAGGUGGAUUCGAAUAUGACAUGAAAUCAAAUGUCCAUACACGUGCUGUUCAUAAAUAUGCAAUUGCAUUGGAUGCAGAAAUAUUAUCUUUUCUGAUAGUAAAUUAUAAGAAUAGCUAUUGAAGUAAAAUAAAUUUGAAAGUACAUAGCGUUAGAUGCUCAAUAUAAAAGUCUAUGGAUCAACAUUUUUAAUUAUAAUUUAACAAAAUUUGUAAAUAGACAAUGACAUUAACAGAUCGAUUUAAAAUUAUCAGUGAUAAAUUCACAGAAAUCUAAUAAGAUUACACUGACUAAAAGUGAUUGGAUAUAUCGAAUUUAAUCUAUACAAGGUAUAUUUAUUUAUUAAUACCAUCACCAUCUUAAUUAAGUUUGAUUUAGGAUGCGCUUCUCUUCCUUUUGUUCUUAUCUCUUUUUUUUUCUUCUUUUUUUUUUUUUUGGUGAAGCCACACGAGGCCUCGCUUUCAUAGCUAUGUUUACCUCGCUUUUAAUGAAUGAAGUAGGAAAACUAGCUAUCUUUCCCUUGCAAAAAAUUACCCACCAUCUUGAAAUAGCAAAAUUAUUCUAAAAACUUAUGCAUACUAAAUCUAAAGCCAAAAACUCGAGUCCUAAUUAAUUUUAACAUAUCAAAACACUACCGACCGUCACUAGCGCAAGUGACAAAAGACUUGAAGGUUGAUACCUGAGGUUCCAAGUUCGAAUCCUAGUUGAUUCACAUUUCCAGCAGAGUUUAUUUUUUAAAAAAAUAAACGAAACGGGUAGCAUGCUAUCUUUCUUNACUCUCCACAGAUGAUAUAAGCAGAUAUAGGGAAUAAACAAGUACAAAUCACUCGAUCUAGUCUAAAGUACACCAUGUGUUCUGAUUAUUAAUGUCCAUUAAGAUGCUGCAAAGAAAUUACCAAGUUCAUUUCAGUAAUGCUAGGUUUUGAGAUUUGUGAUCCAGAUCAUGAGAUGUGAUAAAACUGGCCGACAACAGUCUCCAGCUCACGAAACUUCGCGGACUUUCUUAACAUCAAAAAAUCCAGGCCGCUGCUCGUUUGCUGAAGCAACAUCACUAGGCGAUGCAACGGCAACCACGACCCACUUAUCCUUUACUGCCUCAAGUGCAUCACCAAACUCCUUAAAAUCUUUCACACUGCAAAAUCCAUGAGGAGAAGUAUCAGUAACUGCAAUUCUUUAAGGUGGAAGAAAUCGACCAUUUUGUGUAGUUCGAGCACACUCAAGGGUCGACACAAGAAAACCAAAAAUUUGUUCUGGUUUGUCCAAAUCUAAAAAACCACCAGACUAAAUAUGAAACUUACGUGGUUGAUAGGACUUCUCCAUGUCUUUUCUCUCGAUAUUCUUCCGUGAUGCCUCUUAGGUAUCGAAGUAGACUGAGAAAUACAGAAAAACAAACAGUUACUGAUACUUCAGAGAAGAAUCAGGACGAAAUAACUCCAAUUUAUCCAGAAAAGAAGGAAGUGAUUGUGGAAGAUAAAUUAAAGCAAGAUGACAUGAGCCAUUGUUUGCAAUCAGAUGCAUAUGUUUUUCCCUUACAUGUUAAAAAUUAGCUGAACCAUAACUCAGUUUGACUUAUAAUCCUUGGAUUGGAAUUGCCAGUCAACUUCAAAGGGGGCACAUUCUAAAUCAAGAUAUUUUAUGUUACACUUCUCCUCCGAAUUUAAAUAAGUGAUUGUGAAAACAGAUCACAGCAUUUUAUGUUAUCUGCUAGAAGGUAUGAACCUCAGAAAGACACCAAACUCAUAUCAGUCUUCAGAAAUCAAACUAACAGGAUAUAAACCUACAGAUGAUAUGUAUUUGCUCAUACCUGCUGUAACCUUUUGCAUCUGGAAGUUGAUAACCUUCUAAGUCUCUUAUAGUACCUAUUAUUGCUUUUGUGAGACUAUCAUCAUCUAGUUCUAGCUCCUGGAGAAAGCCGGCUGUCCCAUCAUAUAUGGCUAGGGUUUUCAACAAGUUGGGAUCACGAUAAGAAGAGAAUGAGAAAACUCCUGCCCCGGGAAACCAAUUAUUAGUAAAAAUACAUCUACCUCUUACUCAACUUCUGGUCAAUCAUUAUGGUUUAAAACACGGCUAUACCGGAAUAAGCAUCAAAACUACAUCCUCCUCCAUAUGCACCACCGCUAGUUCUAAGGCGUUCCCGUAGCCAUGUCGUGUUGACACAACUAGAAAUUACAUAAAUACUUCCAUGGAGCUGAUAUCCACUCUCAUAUAUGUUAGCAGCUUUCCCAACAUAGUUAACCUGUAGAGAUGAUGAGAAAAGAAUGUUAAUUUCAUAUAUCAAAGACGUUACUUUAGUUGAAUUCCAUUUAGGUUGAAAAGUGGAAGGUGCACCUGUGUGGGAAUGACAAUUGCUUCAUUUCCGGGAGAAAGUAUGGUUUCCCAGGAAUUGUUCCCAGGAAAUGCAGUCGGAAGGGAAUCAACAAAUUUGGAAAGAUAUUUUGUAGCGGCCACAAGAUUUUCCUCGUCCGACGUCAUAUUAAUCGUGCAACCUUUCCUUGAGAGAAGGGACUUACGUAUUUCCUCGAGCGAAAUAGAAAUUUUAUCCCAAUCAUCAUCAACUUUCUUCUCAAGAUCUUGUAAGAACUCCAUAUAGCUGGUUAACAUAUAUUUGACUGUCAUAGUAAGCGUCAAAUUCACUGAAAAGUAUGAUAGACAAAAUGUGUUCCUCCCAUAGUACUCUAAAAAUGGUCAUCAAAUGAAGCAACUGUUCAGAGUUCUUUGCAUUUAAAAAUUCGUGAUGAAUGUUUUCAAAUAAUCGAUAAUCAAUAGAGAUGUUAUCAUUAUUACUAAUAAUUACCACCAUGAUGUUGAAGUUAUUAAUAACACAAAAUAAAUACAAAAAUACCACAAACUAAUUUUAGUAUAAAUUUUGAGGAUUGGAGUAAGGCAAUAUUGCACGAUGGACAACCUAAUGCCACUAAUUUGUUCAUCAACCCAUCCAGCAACAUUUAGCUUAGCAUUUAUUCUUCUAGCUGCAAUGAAAGAACCAGAGCCUUUUAUUUUUGUCUGCAAAAUAGAAAUCUGUUAGAGCAACGUAAUAUACAGCUUUUUGAGAUCAUGACACAUCAAAAGAAAAUCUAACGAAAAACCUCCAUUUUUGCUCUGCUUUGAGCAACAAACUGUUUAAAGCGUUGCUUUUCCUUGAAUUCAACUUCUCGAAGAAUGCAGUUUAUCUGCAGCAAAAACAUAUCACUUAUUUAUGCAAUAAACUAAUAUUCCAAUGCUCUAAUGUAUCCCUAAUUAAAAGGUGUUUUUAGGAAACUAGUGUGAUGCUUGCUAUUUAAGCUGUGUAGGUGAAGUUCUUGAAUUCCUAACAUGUAAGCUAGGAAGUAAUGAAUGGCUUAAACCACAAAAAGUACACAGAGAGAAUGUAAAUCAGGGGUUCUAAAGCUGAAAAGGGUAGUAUUACCAGUUUGAAUAGGUCCUCUACCCGUUCCGACAGGGCUUUUCCACGAACAAUGACAUGGGCACAUAAAUCCAUCUUUUUUCCACUUUUAGAAGAUACGAAAGGGUAAAUACAGAUUCCUCCAGUCUUUCUUCCAAUCAGAUGGUUAAGCUGUACAAAAUCCAUAUCUUUUGUGCCCAUUUCCAGCAAAGAUUGACCGUUUGAGAAUGUGUCAGUAUCAAUACAAGUUUCAUGCAAAAAUCCAGUAAGUUUAAAUAAUUUUGAGAUUGAAGGAAAAGAAUUCUCACCAGAACAGUGGUACUAGCUGAAGAAAUUCUUGCUUCAAGGGACUCAUAUCAAAUACAACUUCCAAGUAGACAAUGUUAUUUGUUAAAAGGUUGUGCUUCACAACGUUUACUCCAUUAACAUCUUCAAUCUAAAGAAAAGGUAUAUACGCCAUUAAUGAAUUAUGAUUUUUCUGCUAAUAACUUAAUAUUAAUGUAAUGUUAAGAUACUAAAAACCCAGUUAAAAAUUAAUAAGAAUUUCAUUAAUCAGCAUGAACUUUCAGAAAAUAUGUCAUAGGUCCUAAAAUAUAAUAAAAAAAAGAAAUUAGUGGCAAAUAUAAAAAUUGCUGGAAUUUUACGUGAACAUAGAAAGGAAUAUUCAUACNUUAUUUUUUUUCUUUUUUUUUUUUCUUUCUUCUUCCUCUUUCAUUCCUCUCUCUUUUUUUUUUAUGCUUCAACAGUCUAGUCUUUGAAGUUCGGUCAUUAAGUGUUUUUUGGUAAUCAAAAUACUGUGGAAGUGGGUCUUGCACCAUUCCUUUAUCCGAAUUCUGCAGUGCCUGAGUUUAGCUGUUAUGGUGAGGAUCGCCGAGUUCUUGCGGCCAACUUCGUUCCACCAGAGAGGUAUUUUGGUAAGAAAAUCCUCCUUUGUUAGCCAUACAGGCUCAAAACGAAAUUUCCUUGGCACGAGUGGGCGGCCCGUAGUGAGAAGUAUUGGGGUAUGGUCAGAGGUGAUCCUGGGGAGUGCUUUGACCUUGUAGAGGCGAAAAGAUUGAUCCCAUUCCGUUGAGAUAAGAAAUCUGUCGAGCUUGGCUAGAGACGGACGGUGUUGCAUAUUCGACCAAGUGUAAUAUUAGUUGGACAAUGGUAGGUCUAUGACCUCGAGACCAGAAAUGAGAUCCGCGAACAUGGACAUAGCUUUAUUACUCCACGAUUUGCCUUUCCUUUCAGAAUAAUUUUUGGUGAAGUUGAAGUCACCGCAGAUUACCCAGUUUGAGGUGCAAGAGUUGCAAAGAGAUAUGAGUUCUGAGCAUAACUCCUCUUUGCCGUCCCAAGCUGGUGGCCCGUAGACGUUGGUGAUAUAGAACGAUUUCCCAGUAGUGAGGUGGGUCAAGUGUAAAGUCAACGAGAACUUUCGUAGUAAAACCUCAUCGGAUUUGAAAAAUUUCGAACUCCAGCAAGUGAUAAUUCCACCGGAGGCCCCAAUAGCCGGAACAAAUUGGCACUUGUCAAAGCUAGAGCCGCAGCAAAAGCGGAGGAAAGAGCGAGAUACGGAGUCCACCUUGGAUUCUUGAAUACAAAUAACGGAGUUGAAAUAACUAGCGACAACGGACCUGACACUACGAUGCUUUACGGGGUCGUUAAGACCCCUGACAUUCCAACUUAAAAUGUUAAACAUCAAAAAAGUAGGGCACACAAAAAAGGCUUCACUUCCGCCUAAAGUGUCCAGAUCCUACACGUUCGCGCGGAUGAACUUGCGACGCUCCGUGGCUUCUGCAUCGGAAAGGCUGACCCCGCAUAGAUUGCUUUUCGACUUUAUUUUCUUCCUGGUCCAUUUGCGCGCCGUGGUUCCAAUGCCUGGCGAUCCGCUUUCGGAAAGUCGCGCUUUCCUACACAUCGCUCUGUCAAGCACGGAGUCAGAUGUCAAGUUGUUGAGCCGCGCGCUCGACCUGGGUAGUGCUUGAUCGACACAUUUGUAGACAGCAAUAGAGAGAGGUGGGUCAACUGCAGCCGCUGUCUGUUCCAUAGGGUCGGACCUCAAGUGAGCGGAGCGUGAUCCAUCAGCGUGCCCGAAAUCGAGGGGUCCAGAGAGAGAAGCCUGGGUGGGCGCGACACAGCCUGAGACCCAAGGGGACUUGGGGAUAGUGGGCCAGCCCAUUUGAAGUUCGGUCGGGUACGAAUAAAUUUCCGAUGAGGUGGAGCGCAAAUUUGCGGAGUAACGCUGAGGAAAUGAUCCUAUAUGAGUGGGGGUUCCGAGCGGGCGGCGUCCAGUUGCGUUCUCUUUGGGCUCUAAAGCCUUGUUGGAGCUCGGGGGGCUCAAGAGAUGGCACUCGCGAGGUGGAGGAAAGUGGCCCAGUCUGGUGGGGCCCAAGCCAUGCAAGUGCAGAAAGACGGUCCAUUGCGGAUCCGUCGAGGUGCUACCCGCAGAAGGAGCAAUUAAUGUUAACGUCAAUAAAGGCGUGAGGCCGAAGGGAGGGAUGAGUCUGUCGUAAUCAAUGCCAUGGUUAAAGCCGUGGUGACUUUUCGAGAUCUCGGGCCCUACCCAAUUUUCGAACCAAUCUCCUGAGUGUGGGCGCGAGUCCCCGUAGAAGAUAGUGCUUUUUGGAGAGAUCUGAAUGGGGGGAAAUAUGGUGGAACUUAGGGGGGUGCAAAAUGAUCAAAGUCAACUGAAAUAGGAUUGUUGCAACCUGUAAAACCGAAACUUUUGCAUCCCUUUUGAACUAGUUUCACAAAAAAGGAAGGUCCGAGACGAUUCCGAGGCGAUCUUGCAGAAUCUCUAGCAGCCAGAUCUCCUCUAACCGGGACGGCAUCGACCAGAGCUCCUCCGUCCGAGUCGGCACCGGCCAAGACCCAUCCCGCGUGGUCUCCACCGGCUAGGGCUCCGCCGUCCAGGUCUCCGCCGACCGGCGCUUUUCUGACCAGGUGGAGGUCGGGCGGGGGGGUAAAAGGGUAGAGUUUGGCCGGAGCUCUGUCGACCAGAACUACAUUGGCCUGGAUGCUGUCAAUUGUGGCUUUCCCGCCUUGAUCUCCGUUGACCGGGUCAUUGCCGAGCGGGACUCUCCCGCCUUGAUCUCCGCCGACCGGGGUUCGUCCAACCAUGGCUGCGCUGCCGCCGGCGGUGGCUCCGCCGACCGAAGGCCGAUCAAUUCCGACCAUGGCUUCACGACCGCCGAAGGUGGCUCCGCUCCCUUUGCUAUCAGCAAAGAUGCGGCGCUCAACUUCGUGCGAACCCUCAUCAGGAUCAUGAUGAUCAGUUCUAACAAUCGGAGGCGGAGGAUUCCCAGGUCCGCCGUUCCGGGCCUACUUUUCUAGCUGUAUUAGCACCGAGAUGGAGAUAUCGCCGAAAGUGAUCUCGACGUUCUCAGGAAUGUCUGAGAGAUAGUUCACGGCCACAAGGCAGCGGUAGCCCGAAAGAUCUGCCAUCCGCCUAGUAAGAUCGUCCACUUUGAUAAAUCGGCCGAAGCCACCGACGAGGGCCGCGACAGUUCGGGAGGACCAACAUUCGUACGGAAGGCGGACCAGCCGAAUCCAUGCGUUGUAAGGAGGAUGGAAGCGUCGAGCCCCUCUGUAUGGGUGCCAGGCAAAACACCUGAGCCUGAGCUCACCUAGGCUGAUGAGCUCCCUACGGAUGAGGGAUUUAGCGGUGACCCACUCAGGAAGGAAGACGACGAAGUCGCGCUCCCUGUACCUGGAGACCAAGAAAUCUGAUGGGUAGCCCCCAAAGCGGUUUGCGAGGCCGUGAGCAAUAGUGUCCUGCGUGAAGUGGCCGAGGUUCGCCGGGGGUACCACGUCGACGAGAAUGGCAUUGCGUCGCCUAUUUUGUCGGGCGGAGAAGUCUUCAGAUAGAGGGACGAAGGCGCUCAAGUAUGAAGGGCGCGCGCGCGUCGCACGGUAGACGUUGAAAGGUAGAUGGUCCAUGCAGCUCCGGGCUUUGUGACCUGUUUUAAAACACAAAGAGCACCUAAUGGGAUCUCGGCAGUCGGCAGCCCAGUGAUCCCUUCCCAGGCACCGGAAACACCUUCCUUUGAGCUUGAAGCUGGUGUGCCUGGGAGCUCGGGCAGUGGAAAAGCGAGGUGGAGUUGGGUGUGAUGGAGUUGGGGGAGUAGAGAGGAGAGCCUCCUUGAAGCUCUUCUUAUCCAGAGUAGUAGGUGUGCUCUUGCUUAAGGCUUGCUCAAUCCAUUGCAAGUCUUCCUUAAUGACAAUGGGGGUGGUGGAGUCAUCUUUCUCAAAGAUGGAAACUCGAGUUAAUGCUGAACCACAGGCAUCCGCCCAGCGCAGCUUUUUGGAGGAGGUGGAUGAGCAUCCAUUAAGGCACGAACGUUGGAGGCAAGUGAGACCUUUAAUUCCGUAGCCUAAUUUACAUUUGAGCGUUUGAAACCUCGUCUCGAGUUCUUGGCAGAGCCCAGAGGUGUAAGAGCUGGGGGUCUUCAGGCUCCGGUUCACCGAGGAUUCAAAGGCCUUCCCAAACACCUUCGCUGUGCGCGUCGCCUCCGCUGUGCGCGUCGCCUCCGCUGUCUUCCCGUUUUGGCUCACCUCCGCCGUCUUCAUUCUUGUUUUAGUAUCCUAAAACGGUAACUAAAACAUGAUGGAAUACUCGAGGAACUCACACUUCCCCUGUGCAGCCUGUUUGGCAUAGAUUCUGAAAAAAUAAUAUCUGUAGAAUUAAUUUUGAUUUACAGAAUUGAUUUUGAUUAAAAACAAUAAAGUAUGCGACAAAAUUUAGAUGGAAAGUAAUUCUUCUAAAAUUAUUUUGUAAAGCUAUUUAGCAAAAUUUUUUAGAUAUUGAUAUACAAUAAUUUUUUUUACUAAAUUUCAUUAUAAAAAAUUAAAAUUUGAAUUUAAAUUUAACUAAAUUUUUUAAAUAUUAAAUUUUAAAUUUUAAAUUUUUUGCAAAAUUUUAAAUUUUGAUAUUUUAAUCUAAAAUAUAAAUUUGAAAUUUGAAAAUUUAAAAUAUAAAAAGUAAAAAUUAAAAUAUAAUUUAAAAUUUAAAAUGUAAAUUUUAAUUUUUAAUUUCAAAUAUAAAAUCUAAAUUUGAAAUUUAAAACUUAAAAUUAACAUUAAAGUUAAAAUUUAAAAAUUUAAAUUUCAUUUUUCAAAAUUUGAAAUUUUUUAUUUGAAAUCAAAACUUACAAUUUACAAUUUACAAUUUACAAUUUUAAAUUUUAAAUUUUAAAUUCUAAAUUCUAAAUUCUAAAUUUUAAAGUUUAAAUUUUAAAUUCUAAAUCCUAAAUUCUAAAUUUUAUCUUAAAUUUGAAAUUUAAAAUUUAAAAUUUUGAAUUUUAAAUUUUAAAAUUGGGAUUUGAAUUUUAAUAUCUAAAUUUUAAAUUUUAAAUUUCGAAAUUUGAAAUAUAAAAGUUAAAAUUUGAAAUUUAAAAUUUCAAAUAUAAAUUUUAAUUUUAAAACUAAAAUUUUAAUUUAAAUUUAAAUUUUGAAUCUAAAAUUAAAAUAUAAAAUUGAAGUUUGAGUUCAAAAUCAAAAAUAGAUUCAAGAAGUAGAUUUUAGGUGCUUUUGAUUUUGGGUCUUGAAAGUUAGAAAAUUAAUUUUAAAAAUCAGAAUUAGAUUUUGAAAACGAGAUUGUCAAAUGUUUUAUUUAGCCGAAAAUUAUUUUUGGAUCCAAAAUCACUUUUUCGGAAGGUAGCCAAACAACGUAGCCAAACACUGACUAAAUUUUGAAAUAGUAUUUGAACUGUCUAGCAAUCUCAACUAGAGCCCAUUAGAUAUUGGACCCCUCAAGUGGUCCAAGCUAAAUCACAAAAUAAAUAAUAAAAUCUAGCAAAAUUGUCAUUGGGUAAUCUUAUAUUAUGUUAAAUUAAAUUACAUUACUUUAAGUAAGAAUUAUUUGAAUUAAACCUCUUAAAUUAACAUUUUCUUAAAUAAAUUGACAAAACAAUAAACUAAAGCCAACUGUAUAAUUUUUAGGCUCUUAUGAAAGUAGAAAUUUUAAGAGCUAACUAUUUGGAUGUCGGAACGUAUUACCCAGCAAUUACUUAUGCCAAAUAAGAGGUUUUUGGUGGUGAUUUAUUUUACUCUUAGAAAUAACUUAGGGGAUGAAUAUAUCACCUCAUUGUAGGCAUCUAAUACCAAUUAAUGUAUUUUACUUGAACAAAUAAAAGAAAUAUUUUAGAUAAGAUAUUCAAAAAGAGACUAAUUUGGAUGUGAGAACAAGUUACCAAGUGAUAACUUAUUUCCUAUAGGAAUUAUUCGAAUGUCAGAAUAAGUUAUUCAAUUAUAACUUAUGCACUUUGAAAAUUUUCUUUUUGAUUGCAAGUUAAGAAUUUGAUUUUACAUCUUUAGAAGUUACUGAGAAGCAUGUUUUUAAGUCGGAUAAUAUACACACCUAUAAGAUUAUUUAUUUUAUUCAAAAAAAACAAUUCGAAAAUUGAAUAUGAUAUGCUUUUGGAGACUUAUUAGUCAUAUUCUUCAUCUAUUAAGCACAAAAGCUUUUCGAAAAAAAUAAAAAACAUAUACUAAUUAAAAUAUUUAUACAUCCAAAUAGAACAAUAUUUUCUAUUUUCAAAGACUUAAUUUACUAUCCUACAUAUUUUGCAAUAGACUAGAGAAGCUAUAUUACAUAUAGGGAUGUAAUGUGGGCCGUGCCGGGCUGGCACGGCCCACAUUUUCCGGGCCAAAUCGGGCCACUGGUCGGCCCGGCCCGACCCGGUUCUUAAUCCGGGCCGUGCCGUGCCGGCCCGUUUCCAUGAAGUAGAAGACCCGGCCCGGCCCCCGGGCCCGCCCAGCACGGGCCGUGCCGGGCCGGGCCGGGCUUCCUGCCAGCCUGCCAGGCUACCAGGCCCUUUCUUUUUUUCCUUCUCUUUCCACAGUUAUUUUUUGUCCAAUUUUUUUUUUCAGAAAAAAAUAUUUUUAAUCACUCUUUUUGUACUUAUUUGAGAGAAGAGAAUUGAUAUUAUAAAAAAUAAUUACAAAUUUUUAAAUUUUCAAAUUCAUAAAGAAGAUAUUGUAUAAAAAUAUUAAAAUUUAAAUCUUUUGGACCAAACUACCUCUCUCCAACAGUCAAAAUUUUGACUGUUGGGAAGGACACUUUUAGUCAACCCAAAAGAUCCUUGGAGAGCCCCCGCGGGCCCCCCCACCCAAAGCCAGACAGCCUCAUAAGGCAUGCUACAGUCGUAUGACCGGGGGCGGACGAGUGCCGGCCGGGUAAAAAAAACAUCUCCUGGGCCCCGCACGGAAGAAAAUCGUGUCCAUGCCGGGCCGUCCAACACACACUCACACACACACACACAAAAGGAACCACACUGAUUCAAGUGUCGGACGGAUACAAAGUACUCAAUGCAAUAAUAAAUGAAAGGCCGCCCGGCCCGUUUAAAACCCCUAAUUACAUAUUAUAGAAGCUACACCAAACAAGCACUAUUUUAUUUGGAAGCUAAAAAGCCAUAAAAUAAUAAUAAUAAUAAUAAUAAUAAUAAUAAUAAUAUCUUAUUCGGAAAUUAUUAAUAUUACGUCUAUUACUAUUAUUAUUAUUAUAAAUUAUGCUACUAUACCAUCGAUAGUACCAAGUGUCUGAUACUAUUGAAUUUUCGGUCGUUGAAUGAAAUGAUAUGCGGUUAUGAUGAUAGUAAUUCAUUAGGAUUGAGUGGGUUGUUGGUUGAAUAGUAUAAUCUAACGGGUGGAAAUGAUCAAAGAGUAGAUUUAACGGCAGAAAACUUAAUAAUACCAAAAAAUUUGUACUAUCGAUAGUAUAGCAGAAUCUUAUUAUUAUUAUUAUCAUUAUUAUUAUUUUUGGUUUGAGAUGCUGACAUGUGGGUCCCACUCAUGAGGGCCCCACAUGUCAGCCGAAAACAAAAAAAAGCAUGUGGGUCCCACUCAUGGGUCAAAAUAGUCAAUUAGUUAAGACGGGUGCUUUGACCGUUGACCACAGGCAUAAAACACGUUUGUACCCUCCCAUUUUAACCAUCAAAACAAAUGUUAAUGUGGGUGGUGCUUAAAAAAAAAAAUUUCUUUUUUUUUUGGGGGGAAAAAAUGAUGGAAUAGUUUUUGUCCUAAUUAAAAGAGUCUCCAACAGUUUAACCCCUCAUUCUCCAAAUUGAUUUAGCUCCUUUUUUUUUAUAAUUAUUUUUUUUACAAUUAUUAUUUAUUUUUUUUGGUGGUUGUGUUGUAGUUAUCCUCUGCAUGCCGAGAAAUAAAUUUGCAUAUUUGAGGAUGAUAUCAAAGGGCUAAAUUGAAAUUUUCUCCAGGUAUGUUAAAAAAAAAAAAAAAUCAAGAUCAAGUUUUUUCUUUUUCUUUUUUUCCUGAUUUAUGUCCCACCGAAAAAAGAGGGUUUUCACGAAAACAACGUUUCUUUUCUUUUCUUUUUUUUUUUUGCAAUUUGAUAGUUUGUUUUUGCAUUCUGCAUGCGUUUCUGUGUUCUUGGUUCAAAUUUCUAAAAAUCUUGAAAAUACUGAUAUUCAUUGGACGGUCGUCUUUGCCGCCACCACUAUCGCUCGCUCGAAUAUUUAAAUUUGAAUACAAUAUUAUGGUAUUUUUCUUUAGUAUAUUUGAUAUGGGACUAUGCCCAAGUUUCUAAACUUUUACAUAUAUUAUACUUGGGCUAUGGUUGGAUGUGCACAUUUUUUAUUUAUUGUAUCUCUUUUGAUAUGCUCAAUAAGUCUAUAACAUUAGGUACAUGAGUACUACGAUCAAAUAUCUGAAAAGUUACGUACAUAUCAUAUUUGGCAUAAGAUAAAUCACAUUAUAAGUGCAUAUAUUAUCCUGUCAAAUUAUGGAUGCUAAUAAAACCGUUCGAUAAACAAAAAUAGAUCUCCUCGCUUAUGAUCAUGCGAGAAAUUCUCACAUAUAGUGUAUAAGUUAUCACUCAAUAACUUGUUCGGGUAUCGAAACAAAUCGGUCUUAAACUCCUCAGCUUUCGAAAAACAUGUUAUUGGUUGUAAAAUGACCUUCAAUUCAUUUGUCAUGUGAAAGGUGUGUAUAAAAAUCAAAAUUUUUAACUGUCCUAGACUAAAGUAAAAUAUGAAAAAAAUUUAUGAACUAAAAUAUUUAAUGCCUUAAAUAUGGAAACAAGUGUACGAUAUUGAGAUGGCACAGGAACAAUCCUCACAUUUUUACACAGCUAAUUUGUCAUAUAUAUAUAUAUAUAUAUAUAUAUAUAUAUAUAUAAUGAAUAAUGGGAAACAAUCUUUACAAGCAAAACCCUCUAUUUAUCUAACUUCACCACAUCUCUUUGCAGGUGCCAUGAGUGAGCAGAAACCAAAUGCUAAAAAAGUAAGCUAGUUCCUGGAUUAAUUAGUUUCUUUUUUUAUUUUAUUUUUAUGAUCGUUAAUAUACAAAUGAUUUCUAAAAUUAUAACCAUUUAACUUUUACUUCUUUUUUUAACUGAGUAUUUUAUAGUCAACCAAGUUAAUAUUUUUUUCUUAUAUUUCAUGGCUUAAUUAGCUAUCAGUAAUUAAUUAAUCUUGUUUUAUUUGCUACAAAGUAGUUUAUACUGUUAAACUCGAUUGAAUCAUCAAUCAAUUUGGUAAAAUUUUCAAUUUAUUGGCUAAAUGAAGUGACAUCAAUAAAAAGAAAAGGAAAAAAAAAAAUUAUAGUUCACAGGGCCAUUUUAGAAUAGCUUUUUUACCACAAUUGUAUUCAUAUAUAUUACAAAUUUUCUACUAUGUAUCCCUAUCAUAAUGACAUAUAAUUAUUUUUCUUCAACAGGAAAUUUUGGUGGAGUUAAAAGUGUACAUGCAUUGCAAGGCGUGUGAAAGUUUAGUAUUCAACACACUUAAACAUUCGAAAGGUCUUAAUCUAACUAAAGCUAAAAUUGUUUUUAAUACAUAUAAACAUUUCAAAUUAAUUUUUUUCGCGGCAUCGAAUGUGAUCGCUUUGUUUAUUAGGUGUCGAGACGGUUAAAGUCGACAUGAACGCGCACAAGGCUAUUCUGACGGGCCAAUUCGAGGUCGAAAAGAUUCUAAAGAAGCUCAGGAAAAAGACGGGAAAGAGAGGAGAGAUCCUAAACAAGAUCGAACGGAAUGUUGAUGGAGAAAAAGAUGAAUCAAAUCCAGUUACGAAAGAUAAUUGCGAUGAUAAUGCAAUAACUAAGCAGUAUAUGACAAUGUGCUACGAGGACUUAGAUGAUAGCGAGGAGGAAAACUUUCAUAUGUUUAAUGACGAGAAUGCUAAUGCAUGUCAAAUUGUGUAGCAGUAACUUUAAACUAAUUGUGUUUUUGUUAGCCUUAUUUGUUGAUUGAUACAUGCUCAAGUUUUGUUGUUGACUAGAAAAAUUCUAUGCUGUAACACACUUAAUUUACUCCCCAAAAUUUCACACUGAUGUUUUUUGUUUGCAAAUUUUCAACUUUUAGCGCAAAUGGCAAAGUGAUUGGUGGUUGAAACUCGAGAUCCCAAGUUCGAAACCUAGCUGUUUUAUAUUUCUAGCUAAGUUUAUUUUUAAAAGAAAUAAACGAAAUAGAUAGCAUGCUACUUUUUUUCUCAAAAAAUAAAAAGAGUAAUCGUUAUUAUUUAUGGCAAGUAACAAUUGAAUUGAGGGAUGGCGUCCAAGUUCGUAAGUUUGAAGUCUAGUUACUUUAUAUUUUCAAUAAAGUUUAUUUCUACAUGAAAGAAAUAAAUAAAUGAAUGAAACAGAUAAUAUACGACCGUUAUCUCCAAUAUAUAUAUGCAAUAUAAUAAAUCUUGCACCUAAGGACACUUUAAACAAUAACGAACGACACUUUAAAGUGUCGGUUAAGUAAAAACGUUGAGCAAAAAGCCAUUAAGUAAAUAUGUUGGGCUAAAUAUACCGACGCUUUAAUCCCGAUGCUUGUAAAAGCGUUGAGCAAAGAGUCGUUAAGUAAACAUGUUGGGAUAAAUAUACCGACACUUUAAUAUAACAUUAAAAAAAAAUUAUUAAUUUUGAUAAAAAUAUAUUUAUUGGCUACGUUUAAUCAUGAUGUUGGUACAUGCUAAAUAUUGAAGAUGCUUGAAUAGAGCAUCGUCUAAACAACGUCGUCUAUAACAUAUUUUGUUGUAGUGAUAAAAGUAUAUACACCCAAGAAAAAUGGUGCUUCACUUCGGUUCUUUUGUCAUUGCUCCCGAUCGAGGUCGCCUCGGCCUUCGUUGCAUGAGGAACGUCGAGCUUUCUACUCUGUAUGUUCAGUUAACAGUGGAUGCCUUCUUUACCUACUGUGUUUGUGAAGAAGAGAGAGAAGAGGAGAAAUUUGGGAAAGAAGGUAAAAGAUUAUGUUGCUAGCCUUAGCGGACCUUAUGUGGAGCCGUGCUCCAUUUAUAACGGUCAUCGGUCAAGAUGCCGCACUCUACCCGCUGUAUAACUCUAACUCAGCCAACACUUAUCUCACACUUCCGGCCGGUAAUUAGCUCUGAUACUAACUGUGACGUUCUACUUUUCAGGAAGUUAUCCAUCCUAGAACCACUCUUUUCUUAGUAUACUUAACCCUUUUAACAUCUUAGAUUUAGCCACCAUCUAAAAUAUUUUUUUUUUUUGAGAGAUAGAUAACACGCUAUCUGCUUCAUUUAUUUCAUUUAGAAAUAAACUUAGCUAGAAAUGUGAAUCAAGUAGGAUUCGAACUUGGGAUUUCGAAUACCAACCACCAAAUCCUUUGCUAUUUGCUCUAGGAACAGUCGCUCCACCAUCCAAAAUGUUAUGACCAGUUUAAAACAUUUAGUUCUAUUAUACAUCAUUUAUAGCACUAUUCCACACCCCGGAGGUGCAAAGAUUAAUUCAUUUUGUUGAUAAUAUUUUAUUAUUUACAACUACUAUUUAUACCUUUGUUUACAUUUACCGAAACGUAAAACGGUAUAAGUUAAUGGACCAAACUGUAAAGAUAACAACAUGGUAAACAGGGAUCCUAUUGGGAGAUGGCAGUGAAGAGAGGGCGUUUUUGAUCCCUUCGUUUCUUUUCCUUUUUAUUUUUUAAAAAAUUAAAUUUAUUUUUUUAAUUUCUAGGGGUGGCUUGGGCUAGGGUUAAAUGUGACCCAAAUGGCGCCUCAGGGGCAAAUUAAUGUUACCCAUAGGCUGCGUUUGAUAAUAAAAAUAAAUAUUUCUCAAAAAAAAAAAAUAAUAAAAAUAAAUAAAUAUUUUUAUUCUUCGACUAUACUACUCUGGGAUACGGAAGAGUAAAAAAAAAAAUUUGUGUUUAGUUUGUUUCGUAGGAGAACCAAAAUCGUUUUUAGUAAUUUUAUUCAGAAUAACAAAGAAUAAUACAAAAAAUAGUUUUUUUUUAAAUGCCAAAAUUGGCCUUUAUAUAUCUCUAAUAUAUAAAAUAAUGCAUAUAAUAAAAUAAUUUAAAUAUUAUAUAUAAUACUAUUAUAAUUAUAUUAUUAUAUAAAAUACUUUAAAGUUGUUAUAUAACAUACUUCAAUAAUAAUAUAUAUAAAUACUUCAAAUAUAUAUAUAUAUAUAUAUAUAAAGAGAGAGAGAGAGAGCACACAUUAUUCUAACCGUAUAUUUUUUCAUCCAAAAGCCGAAAAUCUAAUAGCACCAAUAGCUUGGUGCUAUUGAUAGUAUUCCGGCCUAGUUUUAUAUAUAUAUAGCAGGGCUACUGUGUUACAACAGUUCUUGUGCUGAUUAGGGUUAGAGAGAGAAGAUAAAUUAAGAAAUUGUGUGUCUCAAUUUCUCUUCUGUUUGAAUUUUUCUUCAAUUUUUCUUCUCUCUCACAUCCUAGCCACCCAUUAAAAUUGAUGGAUGAUUAGAAAGUUAGGAGUACAAGAGCUACUUUACUCCUAAUAACACAGUAGCCAUACUUUAUAUAUAUAUUAUAAUAUAUAUAUCUAUAUAUAUAUAUAUAUAUAUAUAUAUAUUUAUAUAUUAUAUAACUAGAAUACUUCUAAAGCAUCAAUCAUUGGUGCUUUUAGAUUUGUAGCUCUUGAAUGGAGAUGAUGUAACUAGAAUGAUGUGUAUAGAUAAAAUAAUGUUUGAUCCCAAAGGCUACACUAAUUGUCGAAGGGUAGAUCUAAAGACUUGAGUUAAAAGCACUAAUGAUGUGGUGCCUUUAGUUGUAUUCUAGCUCAACUCUCUGCUAACUAUAAUAUUAAUUAAUUAACGACUAUUUAUUAACUUAUAUAAUAUUUUAUUUUAUAUUAUAUCGUAUUAUAAAACUUAUGAAUUGAAGAACCAAGCAUUCUGGGCCGACACGUGUCGCCGGGCGAGAGGGGUCGGAGAGGCAGGCGCGGGCGGACGCGCGGGCGCAAGCCAGCGGACCGAGCGGGCUUGGGCAGGCUGGCGACGCGCGGCGCGUGGCGCGCGAGAGGGAGCGGGGGGGCGCCGCAGGCGUGGCUGCGGCCGGCGUGGGUGGCCGCGUGUGGGGGCGCGCGGGCGCGAGCGGCGCGGUCGGGCGAGCGGCGCGCGCGGAGGGCGCGACCCCGACACGUGGCGGCCGCCGAGAGGGUCGCGGCGCGCGCGGCGGCGUGAGGGAGCGGCAGGGGGGGAUAUAUAUAUAAAAUAUAUAUAUAUAUAAUAUAAUAUAUAUAAUAUAUAUAUACUAGAAUACUUCUAAAAGUAUCAAUCAUUGGUCUUUAAGAUUUGUACUCUUGAAUGGAGAUGAUGUAAUGUAAAAUUAGAAAUAAAUAAUUUGAUCCCCAAAGCUACUACUCAAUUGCGAAGGUAAUCAAAGACUUGAGGUUAAAAAGCACUAAUUAAAUUUCUAGAUUUUAUCUACUCAACCAUCUCUAAUACAUAUAAAUUAAUAAAUAAAGACUAUUAUUACUAUAUAAGAAUUUUUAUAUUUAUCGAAUUUAUAUUAACUUAUAAUUGAAACCAAAAGCAUUCUGGGGAGCACACGUGUCGCGGGAGAGGCGGGAGCAGCGCGUGCGACGCGCGGGCGGCAAGCCAGCGCCAGCGGGCUUGGCAGGUCUGGCGACGCGCCGGCGGUGCCCGCGAAGAGGGAGCGGGCCUCAGGGCGUGCUGCGACCGGCGUGUGGGGUGGGCGCCGGCGCAGCCGUCCCUGAUCGGGCGAGCGCGCGGCCGAUAGGCAGCGAGCCCGACACAUGCGCCGCGAGAGUUCGCGAGAGCCGGUGUGGGCGUAGGGAGCGCAGUGGCGGGGGGGAGCCCGUCGCGGCCCGGGCAGCCGCGCACGGCUAAGCCUGCCGGUGAUUUUUUUUCCACACUCCCUCUUUCCCGUCGGCCCGCCCCCACAAGUAACUGAGUUAGAUGUGGAAUUCUAAUUGUUUGAUUCUUAUCCCUUUCAACAUCAGGUGUUUUAGAGAAUUUCGUUUUUUUUCUCUUUCCGAAAUAAUAAUUAAACAUCAUUUUUUAUAAAAAAAAUAAAUCAAAUAGAAAGAUAUCUUCCAUAAUAAUUUAAUAAACUAAUAAACUAAACAUGAGCAAUUAAUCAGGUUAAUGUUGGAAAAAAUUAAAAUGGUAUAUAACCAAAAUAAUAUGAGAUGGAAUAAAUCAGUCUAAUAUUAAUACCAUAAGUGCUCUUGUUGAUGAACAAUUGCGUUAACGGUGUAAAAUACUUUAGAAAAUAUCCCUGUUGUUUUAGUAUGUAAUUUUGUUUUCGUAUAUAGGCAUCGGAUUUUACAAUAUGGUUGGCUGCAUCCAUCGGAAACGAAAUAAGUAACCAUAUAAGCUUUCGUAAACUCAUUAUCUAAUAACCCCCGCCUUGUCUAGUUCAAGUGACUAACUAAUCAAAAAAUAAUAGUUUAUAAUUAAAAAGACUCAAUAUCGUUUGAAUACUAAGUAUUAGAUAAUAUGGUAAUUAUAUAAAUUUUAAAUUUUCUUUAUUUCAUUAUAGAUUCGCCUAUAUUUUUUCUAAUCUGCCGAUUCAAAAUUCGUACAUCUUUUAUUUCCCCAGAUAUUUUUUUGGAUUUUAAGUAUUUAGAAAAAAAAUGAUAUAUUAUAUUAUUGUAUAAAUUAUAUUUUUUAAAUAUAAUCUACUAUUGCAGUCUUUUUUUUUUUAUUUUAUUUCGUGAACUAUUUAUAUCUAUACCGAUGCUGGAUUAGAAUUAAAGUAUAUAUUAUAUAUAUUAUAUAUAUAGUAUUAUAAGAUAUAUAUAAUUAUAUAUAUUAUUAUAAUAUAUAAUAAGUAUAUAUAUAAUUAUAACUAUGUAUUUUAGAGAUUUAAUUAUUUUUUAGAAAUAACUUUACUUGAGUUAUAUUGUUUUUGUUUUCUUUUAGUGUUAAAUUAUUUAAUUAGGCCUAAAUAAAUAUACGGUAUCUCAGAAGUGGGGAUAUUUGAAGUGGGGAUAUUUGAAGUUUUAUUCGAAGUUAGAGCAGAAUGGGUCGGGUUUAUCUGAGCUAAAUAGGUAUGAAUUCGGUUGUGGUCGUAUUUGAUACUGAAAAUUUAUUUAUAUAAAAUAUUUUUUUUUUCUUCCUUAGUAGAUCUUUAUUCAACGAUACGGAGUCGAAGCGCAGAUUCGAGUUUUAAAUUGGUUUUCGGGUUCGAAUUUGGGUUUAAUCCGGAUUCGGGUUUUCAAUUUGUUUUUGAGUCCGAAUUUGGGUAUUCAAAAAGCCGAACAGAUCUGAUCCGUUGGCAUGUGGUAUCAUUGCGGCCAUUAAUGUGGUCAUUAAUGGAGAACUCACCCCGUGAGGGGUUCCACCGUUUAGAUUUUUCGGGCCGUCUCUCCUUCCUCCUCUCCGUCUCCGUCAUUGCCAUGAGAGCCAGCGUUACUUCGGUGUUUGCCAGGAGGAUUGCGAACUGUUCCUGUCGCUGUCUCCGCCGUGGCAUGGCGGGGUGGUUUGUACGAUCUAUGCCUCUUCUACUUUGCUUAGAUGGCUGCGAAGGCACAUAACCUUCAGCAACUCACCGGAUCCGGUAGGAUGCGGCCACCGGUGUAGAUGGCUAUAGGGAUUUGGCCGGAUUUGAUAGGAUUUAUGGGUUUCUGAUUUGACCCUGGGGUUUUCCUUUUUCCUUCCUUUUUUCCUUUGUCAAGCUUAUCUACUCAUCUGCCUGAUUUUUUGCCUAUAAAUAGCACCUCUUAUCUUGGUUUAGUUAUUAUUUCUUAUGCUUAUGCUUAUGGUUUUUCCUCUUUACUCUCCUAUUCUGUUAGCUCUUGGUUAUUCUAUUGGUUUUGUGCUACACCUGGUAGCGUGAGGUGUGGAAGUGUGGUUUUUAUCCUGGGCUCUGUGUGUUUUUUAUUAUGUAUGUCUUACUCUUCAUGUAUACUGAUAUGUUCCCCAUCCUCUGCUUCUUCCUGCAUGUGAAUAUUUGUCGUGUUGGUAGCCAGGCUGACUCUGUUGCUUGACGAGAAUCAAAUAUAGGUGUAUAAAUUUUGCUGCUCUUUAUUUUCCUGCUCUGUUUGCCAUACCGCAUGCUAACUACAUUCUUUUCUCUUUUUUUGCAUUGCAUGUUAAUUGCCUUUUUGCUGAAACGGUGGUAUUGGAAUGGCGGGCGAAACAUUGGUUUAGUAGCUUCCAAGGUAAUAUAUAACUAGGUAUUGCCUGUUUAUUUAUUUUCUGCUGGAUUGUAUUGUGUAUUGAUUGCAUGCUUUUGAUGUUUAGUGCCUGAUUAGAGUGCUGUUAUGGCGCCGCCUGGUUAUGGAACUUGACGCUUUUGAGUGCAUCCUCAUUUUUUGGGUGGCUCUAGUUGCGUGCCUUAUCUUUUUUUAGGUUUUUCUACUUCUGCUUUCUCUAGGUCUUUUAGUAUAGGGGUUUGUAGAAAGAAAUGUUUUGGUUUUAUUUAUUUAUUUUUGUUGUUUAGAUGUGUUUGACUUGGUUAUAUAUAAGUUUAGGCAAGUUGUAGGUAGCUGCUUUUGUUUAAAAGAAUAGUGAAAGUUAUAUGUAAGUUCUAGGUAAGUUGUAGAUAGCUGCUUUUGUUUAAAAGAAUAGUGAAAUGGUGUAAGAAAAAUCAAGGAUGUAUCUCCUUUAUUCUAUAUAGGAUUCUGACAAAGUACAAAUAUGUUGUUUCUAUAGAAAAAUAGAGGUACCUCUAAUAUAAAAAAAAAUAAAAUUUUAAAAAUCUGAUCAAAAUAGAGUGUGUUUUUACCAACUCUAAAGAUUCGCUUAAGAAAUAAGGGGCUGAGUUGUGCGACCAAAAAUUAAGGCAAAACUAAAGUAUAUUUCUUAUUUUAGUUUAAACUCCUUUCUAUUAUUUGUGUUUGGCGAAAAAUAAUUUCAUUAGUGAGGCAUGGCGGUUUGGACGGUCUUAUGGCAACCACCGCAGCCUACACGUAAAAAAAAUUAUAUUUUGGUGCGCUUGCUCUUGCGGCAUAAAUUUCUAUUAAAUCUACGUGUAUGUAUGGUUUUGCAUAGUUCUACGCUGAUUUUUUAUUUCCUUUCUUAUUAAUUUUUUUAAUUAUUAUAUAAUAUAUUAUUAUAUUGUUUCUCUUUGGUUUUGCGGAGGCAAUGAUGGUGGCUCUUCUUCUAUAGCGACGGUUUGCAGUAGGUGAAUAAGGUUGGACAUUUUUUAUGGAAUUCUAUAAAGAUAAGAAAGAAUUUUCUUAUUGUUUAAUCCACAUUUGCAAAGGCUUACUUUAUAGUCUCUUAGAAAUAGUUUUGUUAGAACUUAUGAAACAGUUUAACUUUCAAGACUUCAUAUUUCCAAGGUUACAUAUUUCCAACAGUCUACAAAAAAAAAGGUUUAAAUAUUUUAUGCAGCUUAUAGGUUUUUGAAUUUUUUUUUUUAUUCAAACAAUAUUGCUUAUGUUUAAAAUUUUAUUUGUCUGCAGCGUUCAUUUAUGUUUAGAAAUGUGAAGUAACUGGGCUUUAAAUUUGAAAUCUUGAAUACAAACUAUCAAAUUUUUUAUUACUUACACUAGGGGCAGUUGGUGAUAGCAUUAAUCUAUUAAAUUUUGGUCUGCUGGGGCAUGGCAAGUAGAUUGGGCUGAUGACAAUCUCUGCAGCCUGCGCAAGCUGCUAAAUAUUUGGUCCUGUUUUGCAAUAUAUUAGUGUCGGAUUACAGUAAAAUGUGCAGAUGCAAUGAGUCAAGCUGAGCCAAUAUUUCUGCAAUUGUAUUAUUGUCGUUUUUCCUUCUUUUUGCUUUGCAAGUUUUUUCGCUUCUCAUUUUUAUCAUGUUUGGCUUUUGUUUAUGUUGCAGUCGGUAGGGUGGCAUUAUAAUCUUGCAAAAGGAAGUUAACUUAUUUGUUGCCAGUUAAAGAUUUGGUUGUGACAAAUAAAUCUAGAAGGUAACUUAAGAUUUGACACUGUAUUUAUCUAUAUUGUAUGGCAAAACCUCAACACAAGUCUUAGAAACAUAAUUGGGUCUAGACUUUCUAAACCUUUUCUUUCAAAUCUUUAUGCUAUAUAGGGUUUUGACAAAGUCCAAAUACGUCACUUUUAUAGGAAAAUAGAUGUAGUCCUAAUCUUAAAAAAAAAAAAAAAUACUGCCCAAAAUAAAGCGCUUGUUGUACAAUUCUAAAGAUUUCCAUGAGAAAUAGGAGCUCGAGUUGUGAGGAAAAAAAUUGUGAUAAAAGUUAAGUAUCUUUUUGAGUUUAAGCUAUAUGCCGUUAUUUCUAAUUUUUUUAGUAAGACAUGGUGGUUAGGACGGUGUUACAGCAGCCACCGCACCCUACACAUAAAAUAAAUGAUAUUUGGGUGUGUUUGCUCUCACUGCGUGAUUUUCUAUUGAAUCAGCUAUCAUAUAUGAUUUUGAAUAGUUCUGUGUUGGUUUUUUUAUUCCUAUUUAGUUUAUUUUUUGCAAAUUAUUAGCUAUUAUAUUAUUAUAUUGUUUCUGCUUCGUUUUGUGGAGGUCAUGAUGAUAGCUCUUUCUCUAUAGCGCCUUUUUGCAUAUGUUGAAUAAAAUUGGGACUUUGUAGGCAUGGCAAAUUGAUUGGCCUUGCGCCAAUCCCUGCAGCCUAAGAGUUCUAUGUUUCAUAUUGAGUCAGUGUGCAUGUAUGCUUUCGAAUAGUUUUGUUCUGAUUUUAUUUUAAUAUCUUUUUUUAUUAUCCUAUAAGUUAUACAUCCAAAAUUGGUUUAAAUAUUUUAUCUAGGUUAUACAUUUUCCUGGUUUUUUGGAUAUUCGAACAAUAUUGGUUAUUUAUAAAAUGUUAUUAGGCCGCAACAUUUAUUUAUGUUUAGAAAUAUAAAGUAGAAGACUUUUAUUACUUACAAUAGAGACAGUUGAUGAUAGCAUUACUUUGUUAAAUUUUGGUCUGCUAAGGCAUGGCAGGUGGAUUGGCCUAAUGCCAAUCUCUGCAGCCUGCACAAGCUGCCAAAUAUUUGGUCCGGUUUUCUGGUCUAGAUAUUUGAACUCUCAAAGAAGCGCGAAAAAAUAUUUGAUGGAUUAAAACAGAUGAGUGUAUGGUGCGCUUGCUCUUGCGCGGGUCGGUGCGGGUGGCAUGGUGGUUUGAACGGUCUUAUGGUAACCGCCGCAGCCUACGCAUAAAAAAAAUUAUAUUUUGGUGCGCUUGCUCUUGCGGCCUGAAUUUCUAUUAAAUCUACGGCCAUGUAUGGUAUUGCAUAGUUCUACGCUGAUUUUUUAAUUCCUUUUUUUGUUAAACCUUUUAAUUAUUAUGUAAUAUACUAUUGUAUUGUUUCUAUUUGUUUUUGCGAAGGCGAUGAUGAUGGCUCUUUCUCUAUAGUGGCGGUUUGCAGGAGGUGAAUAAAAUUGGGCCUUUUUUGCGUAGUUCUAUAAAGAUAAGGAAGAAUUUCCUUAUUGUUUAGUCCAUAUUUGCAAAGCCUUAUUUUAUACUCUUUUAGAAAUAGUUUUGUUAGAACUUAUGAAACAGUUUUAUUUACAAGACUUCAUAUUUCCAAGGUUACAUAUUUCCAACAGUAUACUAAAAAAAAAAAGGUUUAAAUAUUUUAUGCAGCUGAUAGGUUUCCGUGGAAUUUUUUUUAUUCAAACAAUAUUGCUUAAAUUUGAAAUCUCGAAUACAAACUAUCAAGUUUUUUAUUACUUACACUAAGGGUGGUUGGUGAUAACAUUACUCUAUUAAAUUUUGGUCUGUAGAGGCAUGGCAAGUAGAUUGGCCUGAUGGCAAUCUUUGCAACCUGCGCAAGCUGCUAAAUGUUUGGUCGUAUUUUGCAAUAAAUUGGUGCCGAAUUAUAGUAAAUGUGCAGGUGCAACAAUGAGCCAAGCUGAGCCAAUAUUUCCGUGAUUGUAUUAUUGUCAUUUUUUCUGCUUUUUGCUUUGCAAGUUUUUUUGCUGCUCUUUCUGUCAUGUUUGGCUUUUGUUUAUGUUAAAAAACAUAAUUAGGUUUUGACAGUCCAAAUAUGUUACUUUUUUUUUUUGUAUCUGUAGGCAUUUAUUUUUCUACUGUUAUCUUUUCAUUUGUUAGAGAAGAAAGAAUAAAAAAAUUAUUUUUUUUAUUCUGCUGGUGCAUUAUUUUUUUUCCUAUGAUCUGAUUAAUGGUUUAUUUUAUCUAAGGCAUGGCGGGUUGGUCAUUUUUAUGGUGAUUCUCGCAGCCUGUGUAUAUAAAAAUUAUUGGUACUUUUUUUUAAGUGUUGUGGAAUGUUGAAUAUUAUUUCAACUGAAUUGAAUAAUAACUAUGUGUUUUUGAAAAGCUAAGCUGACCUGAAUUUCUCUUGCUCUAUUUUUUUUUUACUUCUCCUCUUGAUACUUUUGCACUUCAGAAAUUGUUAGUACCUUUUUUACCUACAAUGUGGAACAUUGAAUAUUUUUUCUAUUGAAUUGCGUAAAAAAUUAUGUAGUUUAGAGAAAUUGUUAGUACCUUUUUUUUACUUCUCCUUUUGAUAAUUCUGCACUUUCAUUGACUAUUCUUUCACUCUCUAAGCGUUCCUAAUUCAUACAGUUUACAAAUAUGAUUAUGACGGUGACUGCAUUCUGUAUACAUCAGAAAUUAAAAUAUAUGUCGGUUUAUAAAAAAUAUAAAGAAGAUAAAUGAAUCUGUUGCGUAGCACGGAUUCCUUAACUAGUAUUACAUAAUAGCAUAUAAUAUAAAUUUAUAUAAGUAAUGAAGAUAAUAUCAUAUAAUAUAAUAAUAACACUAGUAAUUGUUGUUGUUGUUGUAGUAAUAAUAAUAGUAAUAAUCAUUAUUAUUAUGAGUAGAGCUACUAUGCUAUCGGAAGCAUAAAGUGGUUAAUGCUUCCGAUUUUUUAGCCCUUAGAUCAACCCCAUUGAUCAUUUCUAACUAUUAGAUUAAUAUUAUUAACCAAUGGGGACCACUCAACCCUAGGGAGACCACUCAACCUUAAGAGGACCGCUAUCAUUUCAACCGUAGAAUUUUUGAUCCACGGGCUAAAAAAUCGGAAGCACCAACUACUUUAUGCAUCCGAUAGCAUAGUAGCUCUACACUUAUUAUUAUUAUUAUUAUUAUUAUUAUUAUUAAACUGUUAUAAUUAUUAUUAUAUAUUAUAAGAUAUUUUAAUAUGUUAUAAAAAAAAUAUAUAAUACUAGUGUAGUUAUCCGCGCGAUGCAGCGGGUAGAUAUUAUCGAAAUAAUUAUUUUAUUUAUUAUCAUUAAUCAUCGAUGAUAGCCUGAAAAAAUAAACCUGAAAUAUACAAUUUAUCAAAUAUGUAAAAAAUAUUACUCUAACUAUAAAAUAAAGAAUAUUAAUUUAAAUAAUCAGCAAGAAUCAAAUUGGUAAAAGAGCAACAAUAACACAAAGCUGCUAUAACUACUGCAAUAGCAUUUCCAACAAACCAUUAUCUGACUCAUUGCUUUCUUGGUGAGGUGGUUCAUACUUUUUUUUCUAUAUCCUAAAAGAAAGCAAGUAAUUUAUUAACUGAAGUAGACACAAUAAAAAGAAUUUUAUCAUAUCAAGAGGUAAAGUUACAGCAUGAAAUGUAACCACUUUCGAUCUAAUUUUUAAACAAAUUAAUUGAGCUACUAAUACACCUUAGGAUUGGUGGAUAAAAUACUUGGCUUGAAAUCAUAGAUUCAAGGGUUUGAGCUUCCGUGGCUUAGAAAACCUACAGACGUCAAUGUGAAUUAUAUGAAAUGCUCUAUUCACAUUAUAAAAUAAAUAAAAAGUAGAGGCGUAAGUAGGUUGCGUCAGAUUAGUCUUAGGAAUUGCUUCUAAUAUUUUUUUUUCUUAAAGAAAAAUUAGAUGUAUACUCAGAACCUAUAAAGAGAAUGGAAGAGAAGAGCACGAUCCAAUUUGGACUAGCUUGAUAUUUUUUCAUAUUUAUAUAUUUUGAAUCUUACAUAUAUUUUAUAUCAAAUUAAAAAUAUAUAUAUAAUUAGUUAUUCAAAUUAUUCAUUUUUUAGCUCCAAUCAGUCCGUAAAUAACUAUUGCCAGUUACGAAUAAUGGGCCAAAAAAAUGAUCCAAUUCUUAUCAUAUUUUGAGCACGAAAAUUCUAGUUGGAAAGAGCCAUCAAAUUCUAAAAAGCUCAAAAUAAAUAAGUAAAUAAAUAAAUAAAUAAAAUCAAAGGCCAUUUUAGUCGAUUGUAAAUUCAAGUUUGGAAAGCUUUUAACCUGCACAUAUAAAAAAAAUACUGACCAGAUAUUGGCAUCACCACCACGGGCACCGCCACCACCAAGGACGCGGUCGCUAUCACCAUAGUCAUUGUCGGCAGUAGCACCGCCCUCAGCCUCGAUGCCGCCCAGCCCCCCUCGGCCCGCAUCUCCCAUCGCCCUCCGGUCCUCUAAUAUAAAAUUAACUCUUUAAAAAUAUUUUAUUAGAAAAUUGCUAACUUUGGUUGUGGUGAUAUGUUCUUACUUGAUAAAGUAAUAAGUUUGUGAAAUUAAUAGAUUUGGUGCAAAAAGAAGAUGAAGGGGUGGAAGUUUAUGCUUAAGAGAGGGAGAAGGUAAGGUACACGUUGUAAGGAGAAGAUGGAGGGGUGAGAGUUAAGCCGAGGGGAAGAAAUUAUAUAUGUUAAUUAAUUAAUAGAAGUUUGUGAAAUUAAUAGAUUUAUUGAAAGAAGAAGAUGGAGGGGUGAAAGUUUAUGUUUAAGAGAUGAGGAAGGUAAGGUAUAUGUUGCAAGGAGAAGAUGGAGGGGUAGGAAUUAAGGCAAGGAAACAUGGGCUGAGUUUAAAAAAAAAAACUUCUAAAAUAAUGUGAUUGUGCCACAUCAGUAAGAUUAUUGAGAAAUCAUAUAUGUUAAUAGAUAACCAUAAUUUUAUAUUACUUUAAUUACUUUAAUAAGCCAAGAAUAGCAUAAAAUAGCUCUAUUCCACUAAAAGUAUGGAAUAACUAUUUUCGAAUCAUUUUAGAAUUAUCUAGAACAAUCCGAUUUGAUCGAAAUAAUUUUUUUUACUUUUUUUUUUUUUACACUAUUCGGCAGAUUAGUGGAGAUAAUUUUUGUUAUGUAACCACCAAUAGAAUUUUUAUGGCUUAUAUUUUUUUUAUUCGCCUUGUCAAAUUUUUUAUUUAACAUUUUAAAAUAGAAACACAAAAAAAAUUUAUAAAUUCUUGGAUUGUCAAUAUUCUUUUAAAUUUUUUUAUUACUAAAAUUAAAAAAAAAAAAAAAAAAAAAAAACUAAAAUUAAAAAAAUAAAAUUUUCAAUUUUUUAGAGUACAUGUUACACCUGUAUCAUUUGCGCAUUAAAAUUUACAGAGAAAAAUUGAGGGCGAUUGUCGACCGACCCAUCGCACCGAUUUGACUAUUUUACCCACCUCUCUCUCUCUCUCUCUCUCUCUCUCUCUCUUUCUCUCUCUCUCACUCCGAUUCCUUUCCCUCCUCUUCUUCGUACGCUCGCUCUCGCCGCGAUCGAUCUCUCCUCGCUCGAUCUCGGAAUCGCGAGGGCGAGGAUCCAUGGAGGCGUCCUCAUGGGACGCCCUUCGCAAGCAGGUGAUCGAUCGAUCUCGCGCUUUCCCUUUCCUCGUUCAUUGAUUUUGGCAUUCGAUCUGUUUCCGUGGAUUUGAUGUUGUUGUUGGACGAUUUGGUCCAUGUACUCGUUGGUUCUUGGAUUUUGUAUCGAAUACGCCCCGGAUCUGGCCCUUUGAACCGAAUUUGGGAGCGGAUUCGAUUGGAAUCUAGGUCAAAUUGUUGAGUAUUGGGAUUUGUUGUGAAUUGAGAUCUUUAUAUGGAAACGUUGCGUAUGUAUGAGAAAUGAGUCUAAUUGGAUUAAUUAGGUGAGAUAUGGAAGUUAACAUGUAUCUUGUUAGGUAUGCAGAUCCAUUUAUUUGUCAUCAUGUUUCAAUGCCAUCACCGUAUUUCAUCUAUGUGUUUGCCAUUUUAAAGAAUGAAAGAGAGAAUAUUGGCGUCUACUUUUGGUAUGUGGAAUAACACCCUAUGGAUGCGUUUUGGGGUUCUAAUGGACAAUUUGUUCUUGAUAUGUCUUAUGAAGAGGACAAUGUAUGCUUCUUGUGAAUAUUUGAGCUAAACAACUCAUAAUAAUCAUGUCUCUGAUUAUUUGAAUGCAAAGAAGAGCUUGUUUAGGGUGUGUUUGGAUUAAUUAGGUGAGAUCUUUAUAUGCAAACGUUGCAUAUGUAUGAGAAAUGAGUCUAAUUGGAUUAAUUAGGUGAGAUAUGGAAGUUAACAUGUAUCUUGUUAGGUAUGCAGAUCCAUUUAUUUGUCAUCAUGUUUCAAUGCCAUCACCGUAUUUCAUCUAUGUGUUUGUCAUUUUAAAGAGUGAAAGAGAAAAUAUUGGCGUCUACUUUUGGUAUGUGGAAUAACACCCUAUGGAUGCAUUUUAGGGUUCUAAUGGACAAUUUGUCCUUGAUAUGUCCUAUGAAGAGGACAAUGUACGCUUCUUGUGAAUAUUUGAGCUAAACAACUCAUAAGAAUCAUGUCUCUGAUUAUUUGAAUGAAAAAAAACAGUUUGUUUAGGGUGUGUUUGGUUCACUGUAAACGUAGGCCGAAAAUAGUUUGGGUCUCUAAAUAAGGAUUUAAGUGCCGUGGCACAAGGUCAUGCCGGAAACUUACCGGCAUGGUACUGAACCAUGCCGAUGCGUGCCGAUCACAAAAAAUUUAUGUGUGCUUACACAUAAUAGCGUGAAAUUUUUAUUUUCUUUAGCAACAAAAUAUUCUAACUGUUUAUUAUAUAUUUUUGUCAAAUAUUUUAAACUUUAUUGAGAAAAUUACUUACUAAUUUAAAGAAUAGAGAGUUUUGAGUUGUUCUAUCGGCAUAAGGCUGUAUCGUGUCGAUAUCUUGUUGACACAAUACGGUACGGUAGAUACGGCUAAUGCCGAUAGGCAUUUAAAUCCUUGUCUCUGCAAGUAGUUUUUUCGCUGUUCAUUUCAACAUAAAACUGUUUUCCACAUAAAACAGUUAUACAAAUUUUGAAGUGAAAUUGGUUUUUUGUUUUUGGCUUCUUAAAAGCAAAGAAUAAAAAAUUCUCAUCCGUGGCUUUGGACGGGGUUAUUUAAGGAUUCACCAAUGCCUCAAUCUUUUAUGUAAUAUAUUAUUAAUUAAUUUAAUUACUAUCUUAGUGUUUUAAGAAUCAUAAGAUUACCAUUGAGUAAAAUGUAAGGUGAAAUGGUUACUUACGAUACUGUUACUUAUUAAAUCUAGUUAUGAUAAAUUAUUAACACACAUCUACUGAUAUUUACUUAUAGAAUUAAGUAUUAUAUUAAAUUUACAACAACAAUAAAAUAUAAUUAUCAUCAGAUCAACUUUACAUGUAAUCAGGUUAACAUUACAAGAAUAUUUUUAUUGAUAAGUUGAUUAGUAUCUAAUUACUAUAUGAAGAUUACAAUAACAUGAACACUUACGUCUGAUAAGAUUAUUCACAAAAAAUCUAAUCGCAAAAUUUACUCAUGAUUAAAAUCUAAUUAUCAUUUAGAUAUAAUAAUUUUGUGGUAAAGUUAUUACAUUUAUUUUCUAAUUAAUUUAUACUCACAACAUUAUGAGGUUAAACUUAAUUUAUUUAUCAUUAUUAUAUUAUAAUAAUGUAAUAAUAUGAAACUUUUAGUCAUUAAUCAUUGAGCCUAUUCUAAUCAAAUUAUGAUAAACCUUUUUUCAUUGUUUUUCCUACAAACCAAACAUGCAUAUCCAAAGAACUUUUUUUUCAUUUUCAUUGAAGCAAACACUAGCAGUUGUGAAAUUUCUUGUCCAUGGAAAAUCUUUUCUGCUGGAAACUAUUUUCAGAAGUUUUAUAACGAACCAAAUAGUCCCUUAGGUCUGAUUCGGUAUUGUUGUCAUUUUCUUUUUUUCUUUCAAACACUGAUUUUAUAUAAUUUGAUAUACUAGCGGAAGGACUUUCCUCUUGUUGUUGUUGUUGGUUAACUUGCAAUGCGCAAUAGCCAAGUGGUGGGUGACAACCUUUUUUAAAAAAAAUAUUGAAAGCAAGAAAAAAGAAGAAAAGUUGCUUCGAAAAUUUUAUUUUGCAUGAUUGCAUCGCCAAACGGACAUCUUGGUCGCAAGGAUUGCAAGCUGUCCACUAUCCCCUCCUACACUUUCAUACAAAAAUUCUAUUUAAAAAAAAUAAAUCAAAAUACAGCAAUGAUGCCAAACGAGGCCUUACUUUUCCAUUGUCAUAUGACAUUUGUUGUCGUGUUAGAAUCCUGCAGACAACUUGUUUAGCCUUCUAUAUUUUGAAAUGCUGAAUAUGUAAAUGCAUUGCUAUAUGAAAUAUUGAAAUGUAAUGGAAAGAUUCUCUAGUGAUGCUAAUGCUAUAGACUCUCUGCAUGUAUCUCUGUAACCUUGUGGGAAUGAUCAACGAACAUCUGACAGCAAGAUUGCUUACUAAUCUUGUAGUAAUAUUGUUAUUCAGCAACGAUUGAGUAGCUUCAUUUGUUUCUGGGUCAUUGUUAAAACUUCAAAAGCUAGAGCAUAAGGUGUUGUUGCUAUAUGAUCUGGUUGCGUUGUUUGUUGUUUUGCUAAAAUAGAAUCUAUAUUCGUUUUCUUUGUAGGCAAGGAAACUUGAAGCUCAGAUAGAUGACCAGAUGAAUUCAUAUCGUAGGUUGGUUGCCACCAAACCUGAUGGAUCAGAGAAUGACCUUGAAUCUGGUAUAGAGAGACUACUGAAGCAACUUCAGCAAGUGAAUACACAGAUGCAAACAUGGGUAUCCUCAGGAGGGUCGGAAGUUCUUUCUCAUACCUUGACUCGUCAUAAAGAGAUUCUGCAGGACCUUACACAGGUAUAGUUGCUUCUUACCCAAUAAAUCAAAAAAGUGAAAUAGGAUGUGAGUCUUACUUUCAUAAGGAAGGCUAAUAAAAGUGGAACGUACACUUCUGUCAUGGAUUGCCCACUUUUCUGUCAGGUCCUCAAUUUAAACAUCUUAAUUAUUGGAGCCCUGGCAGGAGUGCAAAUCUUUGUGAAUUAGUGUAGAAUAAGCAAGCUAAGGUUAAACAGUUGCUUUUGGCAUGAAACUAUAUGCAGGAAUUUUAUCGUCUUCGAGGAAGCCUUAGAGCUAAGCAAGAACAUGCAUCCCUCCUCCUCGACUUCAGGGAUUUUGACCGGGCGAAAUUGGAUGUUGAAGAGGGUGCUGGUUCGGAUGGGCAAGCUCUUCUCAGAGAACAAGCAGUAAUUAGCAGAAGUUCAGGACAGGUGUCAUUAUUCUCUUAUCUAUCAACACUUAAAUUUAUUUCUUUUUAUUUUUCUCUCUGCCUUGGAUAUGAUGCAUGAAUAUAAGUUGGUGCACACACAUAUGGAAAAAGCUAUAGCUAAGUACCAUUCUGUUAUGUUAAUGUUAUGUUUUAUCUAUAUGGGCUGUUUCAUUUAUCGUUAUUUGAAUAUUAUUAAAUACACAGUGUAAGAUCCACAUUUUAUUUAGUUAAUUUUUAUAUUGAUGGAGGGUUCCAACUUUGUGAAUCAACUUGUCACCUCAGUAUUGCUGACCGUUCCUAGCGUAAGUGGCAAAUGACUUGAUAACUGGUACUUGAGGUUCCAAGUUCAAAGUCUAGUUGCUUUACAUUUUCAGUUAAGUUCAUUUCUAAAAAAAAAAAAUGAAUGAAGUGGGUAGCAAGAGAUAAUAUAGAUUUUGCUGAAUAAAGAUUAAAGAAAAGCAUUAGAUACUGCUAAUCUAGCUUUAAGCUCCUAGCCUUAAAACCUUCUAUAACAUAGAGGCAAACGCACUUUCCUUUUCCAUAAACCUUCUUACGCUUGGAAUGUUAUAAUUUAAACUGCGUUAGUUUUUUUUUUUUUUUUUUUUUUUUUUACCGAUAUCACUGAACCGAACCAUCUACUCAACCCUACCUCUUUUCUUGAUAUUAACUCUGCCCCAUGUUGAUCAAACUCGCCCAAUUUUCCCUAUAGACUGAUGUAUUGUGUGUAAACUGUAUCACAGAUGGAUUCUUUGAUUUCGCAUGCCCAAUCAACUCUCGGAACACUUGUUCUUCAGCGCUCCACAUUUGGCGGCAUCAGCACAAAGAUAACCAAUGUUAGCAGCCGUCUUCCGGGGGUAUGCACACCGUGCCUUCUUGACCCUCAAAAGAAGAAGUGCUCACUUGAUAGUGUUUAUUUCCACUCCCUUGGACAUUGAUCUUUAAUUGGUAUAAUUGUACAGGUGAAUCAGAUCCUCUCAUCAAUUAGGAGGAAGAAAUCGAUGGACACCAUCAUUCUCUCUCUUGUUGCCUCCGUCUGUACAUUUCUCAUUUUCAUUUACUGGUUGUCAAAGUAAGGCAUAAAAUUGACAUCGCCUUGGAUUCAAUCUGUAAGUGCGUAUUAUUCUAGUUUUUGUUUGUAUUGCAACUAGAGUUGUCACACUGUUAUAUGAUAUAAUGAUCGGCUUCUGAAGUGCCCUUAUAGGACCAUGUAUUCUACCUUUCUUUUUGUCUUUCUCUGGGACAACUCCGUAUAGUUUCUUUCUUUCCAAUAAAUGUGUACAGUAGCUGUUUUGCUCAGCUUUUGACGUAAAAUUUACGUUCGAGAAUCAUGACUUGAUGUGGUUUUUUGUCAAUUAAGUUCUAAUAAUCUGUUGUCUCCAUUAGAAAUCAGAAAAGUAAGCUCAUUUUGGAAGGUGUGAUCAUCAGAAUAAACAACUUGGAUAAUCAGGUAGUAUUUAUUGCUGUUUAUGUGAUAAGCAAGUUUGUUUGUUUUUGUUAGCAUUAGUUCGUCAGUUUAAAUGUAAUUUUUGCAGUUCUGUUGGAAACUCUGAAGAAGUAUAAUUCUAUACAUUUUUGCGCGCCUUGCUGCAUUGUCUAUAUGCAAAGUAAGUUGCAUUUUCUUUUUCUUUUUAUCCUUUUUUUUUUUUUUUGGAGAGAUUGAAAGGUAGCAAGCUAUCUUCAUUGUUCUUUUUUUUUUAGCAAAUUAAUUCAACUAGAAAUGUGAAGUAACUGGGCUUUGAAAUUGAGAUUUCGGACACCAACCGUCAAGCUCUUAGCCAGUAACUUAUAUAUAGAUAGAUUGGGCUACUAUACUAUUAAUAGUACCAAAUUGUUUGUGUUAUUAAAUUUUCAGCCCUUGGAUGAAGGGAUAUGCGGUUAGGAUGAUAGUGAUUUUCUAGGGUUGAGUGUGUGGUUGGUUGAAUAGUAUGAUCUAACGGGUAGAAAUGAUCAAAGGAGUAGAUCUAACGUCCGAAAAUUUAUGAGUAUAAAGGAGACUAUAUUUAUAAGAGUAUAAUCGCCAGACUCAUAUAUGCUAGGACUGCUAUAUAUACUCUUAUGAGUAUGAUCCUUUUGUACUUAUAAAUUUUCGAUCGUUCGAUGGAGAGACGUGCAUUUAGAAUGAUAGUGGUCUCCGAUUAGGAUAAUAGUGGUUCUCUAAGAUUGAGUGGUUGGUUAAAUAGUAUAAUCUAAUGGAUGAAAAUGAUCAUAAGAGUAAAUUUAAGGGGGAAAACUUAAUUUUAGCCUACGCGCUUGUGCUAUUAGAAACACUCUAGCCGAACUCUCUCUCUCUCUCUCUCUCUCUCUCUCUCUCUCUAUAUAUAUAUAUAUAUAAUUGAGCUAGAAUACUUUUACAAGUAUCACUCCCAUGGUGCUAUUAGAUUUUUAGCCAUUGGAUCUACUUGUUGAUUAUUAAUAGCCCUUAGAUCAAACACUAUUCCAUCUACCACCACCUACCACCAUCAUCUCAACCUCACAUCUCUUCAUCCAAUGGCUAAAAACUCAAAAGUACCACCUUCAUGGUGCUUUUGAGAGUAUUCUAGCCCAACUCUAUAUAUAUAUAUAUUCUGUGUUGUUAUUGUAUAAUAAGGCUUCAAUAUGUCAACUAGUUUUGCCGCCAAAUGCUCAAUCUGAUGUUAGAGGUGCUGAUCGAUAUUUGUAAGAAGGAAAUGUUAAAGGAGCAGAAAUUAUUUCCUUGACAAAAAUGGCUGCUUCUCACCAAGUUUGAAGUGCUGAGUAACUCAGUUGGCUUGUAAUGCUCCAGACCAUUAUUAUUCUGAUUGUCGCUUCCUAGGCUGANGGCUCAUCGGUUCACUAGUCGAACAGUCGAUUCCAAUAGUUCAGAGCAGGUUUUUGUCUUAUUCGGCGAUUCGAAUGGUUCAGAGCAGGUUUUUAUCUUAUUCGGUGUAAACGACUGAUUUGAGUUAUGGUCGAAUUGGCCGAACCAGCCGGUUUUGACCUGAUUUUUAAAAUCUUGGUUGCUACUAGAUUAUGCUCCCAGUAAGGGAGGAGUAAAAAUUGAAAAAUGCUACUUGCACACCUCCAAUCAGGUUGUAUAUGUUACACUCUAUCUAUUCAAUAAAUGGGGUUGAACUACUAGUUACAUCAAGUGUCUAGUAAAAACAUCUCAUCUAUUGGAUAAAUAAAAUGUAAAAUAUACAUUCCAAUUGGAAUGUACCCUUGCACUUUAUUACAGACGAUGCAAACUUUCAAUUCAAUCCUCUGCAGUUAAAUUGUGCCUAAAAUGAAGGAAGGAAGACUGAAUAAGAGAAAUAAGUUGAAAAUUAUAGGGUGCAUUCACUUUAUAGGAUGCUUUAUGAUAAGCACAUAAAUAGGCCAAAGCAAUGCUAUCUUUGUUUUAUAGGUGUAAAUCUUACACUCUUAACUUUUUAAAAGUUCAAAAUUUACUCAUUUCUCUUAUCAACCUUUUUUUUUAAUACUAAAAAUUCAAGAGAGUUUUUAAACUCUUAAUAGAUAACAGAGUAUUAUAAAAUGUACAACUUAUUAGUGUAACAGUAACACCCUACAUUCAAAAGAUAAAGACUUAAAUACUAAUAGAAGUAAACUAAGUUGUCUCCAUGUUGUUUUCAGCCGUGGGGUAUUAAAUAGACAAUUAAUUCCGUUAAAUAUAAUUUAGCUACUUGAAUAUUUUAAAAUUUAAUUUUUUAAAUUUUUUGUUAUUAUUUAUUGAGUAAUUAAAUGAUCUCAAGUUCACUUUGUACUAGUUGCAAACCCACAAUUUGCAGUCAUUCCGCUAAGAAGUUAUAAAUAAUUAUAUUAUUUUACACUUCAAUAAUAUAUAAUUGAUAACAAAUUUUGUAUAGUUGUAUAAAUAAAAUAUAUUUUUAUAUGAAGUCCGAGUAUGUUACUUCCAAGAAAUAAAGAAGGUGGUGCUUCCAAAUUUUUAACCCUUGAAUCAACCUUUUUGAUUAUUUUUAAUUCUUGAUAUUAUUUUACUACGGAAACUACUCAACUUUAAGAUAGACCACUAUUAUUCUAAUCAUACAGUUCUUGAUCGAAGAGCCAAAAAGUCGAAUGCGCCAACUCCUUUAUACUUCCAAAAGCAUAGUAGCCUUACACUUUUAUUUGUAUAUAUUUAGAUAAAUAUCUAACCUGUGCGGGUAAAAGUUGGCGCCCGUAAUAGACGCGACGAUAGCGCUGGCGAUCACCGUCAUAAAAUUUUCGUUUCAAACUUGACAUUUAAAAUUUUAAACAUAUAUUUUAAAUUUGACUGUAAAUUUUAAAUUCAAGUUUAUUUUUAAAAAUUUAAAUUUAAUUUAACUUCAGAUAUCAUAUUUAUUUUUACUUUAGAUUUAAAUUUUAAAUUCUAAUUCUCAUUUUAAUUUUGAAUUCAAAUGUAUUAUACAACCGGUGGAGGCAAUAGUUUUUCCAUACUUUGGACCUUUAUACUUCCAACCAAUGGGCAAGUUCGGAGCCUGUUUGUCUUUUUUUUUUUUUUUUUCUUUUUCUUCUUUUUUUUCCCAGUUGAAAACUUUUGCAUUUCCCUUCUAAGAAACAUGUUUGAUAGAAAAUCUAUCAUAUUUGUAUUUGGAUUCGAAUAGAUCUGAUUUAUCGAAGAUCUUAAAUAACAACAAGAGACUAGCUUAUAACUUUUAUAGUUUCCGUGGAAAAGGAGACUUACUCUAUAGCCAUCAACAAAAAAUAUCUUAUAAAAAUAGGAAUAAUGCUAUGGGUAUCUCAAAAGAUAUCUAUAUGUAUUGUCGAUGAGUCAAAUUUUAACAUGACAGCUAAUUUGGAUACCGGUGUGCCAAAUUUGUGAAAUCACAUCACGAAUCUUUCCGCCUAAACGUCCAUCGCUAACAUUUGAUCCCUCACUCUCUCUUGUUAAAUAUAAAAAUAUUUAAAUACCGUUCUCUAAUAGCUUAAGAUUUUAUAAUACAACGAUUGUUUUAUAUAGUAUCAGAGCAGAAGGUUCUGAGUUCGAGUCAUACAAGGCUAAAUAUAAAAAUAUUUUCUCUACAUUUUCUCUACAUUAGACCACUAUGUUGAGGACGUGUUAUAGCUUCUUCGGAUCUUCGACGUGGAGUUUAUUCGCCUCGACGACUAGAGAAGGCAAUAUUUUUCCUCUGUUUUUCUUUUGGCCUUUUUAACUAUAGAUUAUUUUGAAGUAGGUCCCUCACAAUUCUAUUUUUUGAACCUUUUUUUUUUCCUAUUUAGGAAGCUUAAUAGAGUUCUUCAAAUUUGCUACAAGGGUUUUAGAAGUCCCCUUUCCAUUAACUAUUCUAAAAGCCUUGCAGCAAUAUUUGAAAAACACCAAGCUUUCUAAUUAGGGAAAAGAAUAUAUAAAUAAACAGAAAUCGAGGGACCUACUUCAAAAACAACCUGUAGUUAAUGAGCUCCUUAUGUAUAUAGUUCUUAAUUCAGCAGAAAAGUGAUAAAAAUAAGCCAAAAGAAAAUUAGAGAGAAAAAAGGGGAAAAAAAAAAAAAAAAAAAUUAGAGGAAGGUGGUGGCAGAGGAGAAAACCUUUCUCACCAACGUUCCAGCUGGUUGCCUUCAACCAUCCAUCUUCAUAGCCUUCGACAAGACGAGUAAGCUCUGCACUGAAGAUAUGAAGAAGCCAGUAAAGCUCUGCUCUAUAAAGGUCUGCAGAAGGUAGCACGCCCUCAACUUUUGAGUUUUGGGAUACAUGGUCUGACGUCGAGAAUAUAUGUGACUAGCCACAUAAAACCCCUGGGAGGAAGCAGAGAGAGGUGUCACACACCCUAAUAACUUCACCUUAAUAAUAAUAACUGGACUUAAUCAUUUUGGACCAGUAAUUUCAGCCCAACGAAUUAUUGUUGCUAGUGGACUGGAUCGUUACAUUUGGUAUCAGAGCCGGUUCACCAGCCGGAAGUGUGAGAUGAGUCUUGACUGAGCCAGGGUCGGUGAAUGACAGGGUAAGCCAGAGUCGGUGAAUGACAGGCUAAAUCAGUGUCGAAAUGAUAAGACUAGCGAGACAAGUCUCACAUCCCCUGAUAAUCUUGGACUAUGUCUGUUUACCCCUAAAUGGGAGAAGUAUAAAAGAACUCCACCCUAAUAAUAACAACCGAGCUUAAAUAUUUUGAACUGGUGAUUUAUGAAUACAUAAGAGAACUCCACCCAAUGAGUUAUUAUUACUAGUGGUCCGAUAGUUACAAGGUGGUGAAGAUGAGUAAAGGACGUUUGAGCAGGAAAAAAUGUGGGAGAUUACGAUUGGCAUCCGACCCGAAAGAUUUGUAACACCACUGUUUAAAGCAACUGGAAUUUAAAAUUGAGCACUCCAAAUCAGCUCCCAUAUCAAAAUCUGAGUCGUCGACAAUAUACAUAAGUACCCUUUCAGUGACCCAUAGUAUUACUCAAAACAAUAAACAUGAGAGAGAGAGAGAGGGGGGGAGAGACUAAACCGAAAUACUUCCUUUUUUUUUUCACGCAGACAAGUGCUACAAAAUUUCAUAUUUCUCGAAACAGCCUGUAGCCUAACUACGUUACCGACUAAAAUAACUUACGGUAAACAUAAACCCAGCUACCAGAGGUCUUGCAUAACAACACAUGCCAAAGGCCAAAGGAAACAGGUAAUGCUAAACAUUACAACCCCUACCCCCCUACCCAAAGCAUCUACAGUGUCAGUUAAAUCGUCAACAUGACUAGCAGCACCUGGGCGACCAGAUAGGCGAUUUCGGGCGAGAAGCAAAGCAAAACACUGAAGAAUUGCCUAUCCACAAUACCCCAAGAAACUGUAAACAGCAUGUAUUUACCUGAGAGGAAAAAAGGAAAAAAGAAAAAAGAGAAAAAAAAAAAGGGGAUGGGCAAAGCAUGCGUCGAAGUGCCCAAUCAGCUUUGGCUCUUCCUCCGCCUCUUCUUUCCUGUCGAAGCCCCAAUUACCUGUGACUCUACUUUUCCAGUACUCGCUCUCUUUUGGGCCCGGAGCUUGCCUUUCCCGGAGGAGCCAUUCGGAACACCCUUUGAUUUCUGUCGAAGGGUUGGAGUUUCGGCGCUGGAUUUACCUUUAGCUGCAUCUUUGCUGGAACUGGCUACAUCAUCCUUUGAUUUGUUCGUCUUCUUUUGGGUUUCAUCCUGCGACCUUCCGCCGGAUUGAAGGGCAAUGCCCUUUGCACGGCUGCGAGUUCUUGAGACAUCAUCAUUCGACUUGGCGGAGUGAUUGGAGCUAUCAUCCUUAGACUUGCGCGUGCGUCGCGGUGUCUCAUCCUUAGACCUCUCGUCACCUUUAGGAGUCUCUUCUUUAUCCUCACUGACAGCCUUCGACCUGCUUUUACGUUUCGGAAUAACUCCUGUACGCAUGCUGCUGAACUCAUUGCUACAGAACAAACACCCGAUGGAAACAAUUGAGAUAAAGCACUUCAAUAGGUCGAUCUAUUAGACAUUGUUUACCACAUCAAAUGCCAAUUACCUGCUCGGUGUCUGCGUCUUUGCUUUUUUUGGUGCACGACUGGAACUUGUUUUAGCUUUUUUACUUGGCGGCCUGAUUGAGGGGUGAUGGGUGAACAAAUGAGGGGAAAAAACAGUUUCUUCAGUUAGGAAAGAACAGCAAACUAUUAGGUAAAAUCCUUUAAACACAGAUUGCAAGAGAAAACACUCACAUUUCCGAUGAAGCAUCAGGUCUUGGAAGAUCCUCCGAUCCUCCCUGCUAGGAGAAGAAAAUAAUGGAACUUAAAAUGCAGAGAUCAAUUAUAGAAAUACUUGAUCAUGGUGCAUCGAACUAGUACCUACCUCAUCUGCUUCUGUGUUGCCUUCAAUAAGUUCCCAUCUUUCUUCCUUAAGCCGUAAUAUCUCUACAUCACCAUCAUUAUAGACAAUCUGGACGCAUCAAAAAUCAUUUCAGAACAGAAAAAAUACUGUAGAAGUUAAAAAGGUAGUCAAGAACAGCAAAUUAAAAUCAGCAGACCGAUAAAUUUACGCACCGUAUGCUUCUUAGAAGAGGGAUUAUAUGAAUGAACCACACCAUCAUAGAACCUGCAGAAGCAGGAUAAAAUUUAGCAUAUGAGUACACGUAACAGUAGAUCACAGACUCAAAGUAAGUUCUAAAGAACAUGAUUAUAAGAGAUCAGCAGGGAAGUCUGGCAUACGCUUUAUCAGCCGGCCACCAUACUUUAAUCAUGGAGUUAACAAGACUCUCAUCAAGAUCUUUUCUUUGUUUCGAUGUAGAGAUCUGUCACAUUUGAAUAAUUAUAAUUAGAACCCAGAAUCAUGUACGAUGAAAUCUUAGUGAAGCACAUAAAAUAGAAUACCUUUUCUGUCCCUCGACCAUGGUUCCUCUUUGAUCCACUUCGAUUUCUCAGACUGCCAGAACCAGCUUUCUGCACAGAGCCCGCAAAAAACAAAAAGAACACCAAUCAUCUAGAGUAGUUAAAAAAUUGACUAGCUGCAAAAAAUUAAGAAGGAUGCAACGAAGACCCCGAGAUCACAAAUCAACUCAUGAAUCAGAUAAUACUUUCUAUAUGUCAUUUUAAUGAACUAAAUCCUCCUCUGCAGCGUGCAUUUGAGUAAUGUCCAUGAUGAGAUGCGGCACUUCUAGUUCACAGCUACAAGUUUCAAAGGAUCUCCGAGGAAACAACAUGGCCUCAAAAAAUACGUAAGAGAGUUAAAAUGCAGAAAACCCCCUAUCACAAGUUGCCCUACACUCAUGAUAAUCAAAAUCUGCAAAAAAGAAACACCCCCUCAGCUGCACAAUUAUCACAUAAACCCCUUCUGUUAGUCUUCUGGUAGGGUUCUUCUAGAAAAAAUAAUAUAAUAUUUUUAAAAAUUAGUAAAUGCCUAAAGUUCAUUUUCUCUUCCCGAAACAUCAGAGGAGACGGUGAGGAUGAGGUAAUAGAAGAAAAGAAGGACUAGAAGGACGUGUGGUGGAGGGGGCGGCAGUGAAAAGAGGAUGUGGAGGAUGGACACAGAUGGUGAUGAAAAACAGCUGGAGGACAGGGAGGACGAAAUCACAGAGGCGGAGAAUGGAAUGGAGGGAAAGGAUGCGAUGGUGAGGAGGACGAGUGCUAAUCAAAAAAGUAGACAAUUUUCUCAUUAAAUUGAGGGGAUUUUCAAUAGGUUUUCUUAUGGAGAAAGCUAUUUUAACUCGCAACAUUUCGAGACGGUUUCUGCAUCUACAGCCAUGAAUUAACCAUAGAAAGGCUUGGAAAUAAGGGUGUGCAAGCAUAAACUGAGGAGCAAAGAUAGAAGAAGAGAACAAGAAAAAGAUGAAGAGGAGAGAUGCAAUAAGAGCAACAAUCCUCAUGUUUUGUUAAACAAGUGUGAUUUAAACCAAAAUGACCGAAGGAAAUAUAAAAACAUGAACCAUGAUAGGUGACACUCCCUAUCAUGCAACAUACUUUACGAAUGUUUGGAUGUAAAUGAAGCUAAAAGAAAUAUAUAUAUAUAUAUAUAUAGAGUCCGGCUACUAUGCUAUCGGUAGCACGGAGCGCUCCGUGCUACCAAGUUGUUUUCGAUGAUGCGGCUUCCAAAUCGACGAUCGGCUCCGUUAGACUUGAUCUAUACUAUUGAAAGUAUUUGGAAACUAAAAUUUCAAAUUUUUUCGACAUCAUUUGACUACUGAUCAAAAGAUCUCAAAAUUGACAAUUUUAAUGGCCGAUGUGGUGUGUUUGUGAGUUUAACGGUGUAAAACAAUUCAAAUGCGAUGCAAGUUUUAUAGAAAAUUCUUCUCACUAUUUCGAGUAAGAUCAGUAUAUCUGAUCUUGAAUUUAAAUCUUUUAUCAUCAUUUUUUAUGAGAUUUUUAUUUUCAGCCGUUCAAUUUUAGACUACUUGUUUGAUAGGUAAAUGAUAUCGAAAAAUUAUGAAAUUUAGUUUCUAAAUACUUUCAAUAGUAGAAUCAACUUCUAACGGAGCCGCAUCGUACGAUUUGAAAGCCGCUAUCAAUCGAAAAACUUUGGUAGCACGCGCGCUCCGUGUGCUACAUAGUGAUAUAGGUAGACCUACUACUAUAUAUAGUAUAUUAUAUAUAUAUAUAUAUAUAUAUAUAAUAUAUAUGAAAUAGGCUACUAUCUAUAACUAUCUAAGUACCGGAGCUCCGUACUAUAGUCUUGUUUUCGAUCUUAGGGUGUUCAAAAUUAACGAUCCACACCGUUAAAUAUGAUCUAGGUAUAUGAAGUUCUUAGGAAAAAAAUUUUAGCUUUUUUCGACAUCGUUUACUUAAAAAAUAAUUAUGUCAAAAUGGACGGUGGAAAUUGAAUAAUCUUUAAAAUUUGAGCAUAGGACUUUAAUCAAGAUCAAGAAUGCUAACUUAAUCUAGAUAGUUUAAAGUAUUUCUCUAUCAAAAUUGAAAAAAUUUAGAUUCUUCUACACCGUUAAACUCCAAACUCGCCAUAGUAGCCAUUGAAAAUUGAAAAUUUGAAAUAGUUUGAUCAUAAAAUAAACUAUGUCGAAAAAAUAUAAAAUUUUAUUUCUAAAAACUUUAAAUACCCGUAGAUCAUUUUAACGGUAUGGAUCGUUGAUUGAACACUCUAAGAUCGAAAACGAGACUAUAGUACCGGAGCCCCGGUACUAUAAUAUAUAUAUAUAUAUAUAUAUAUAUAUAUAUAUAUAUAUAUAUAUAUAUAUAUAUAUAUAUAUAUAUAUAUAUAUAUAUAUGUCAAUCGCAAUAAACAAUGAUUUCGCUCUUAAGAAAAACCAUUCAGAGUUGGUAACGAGAAAGUAAAACAUGCAGGUAAAUGAAAGGUUCCAACAAAUAACAAGGCUAUUAAGCAAUCAAGAGUGGGGCAGAAGGAGAAUUACUUCGAGAAAAUGGGAAGUGGAAAGGCUAAAUAUAAAUACAAAGGAUUAAUUAGGAAGGCAAUUCCGACCUACCUCAAUACAAUUACUAGAUUUCAUUCAAGCCAGCAGCAGGCAUAUCCUUCUUAAGAACUAGAUUCUUUGUCCACAAAAUAUUUAUAAUAUAAGCAAAACAGAGGACUUCCUGAAUGAUGAGACAGUUUUACAUAAGGAUUAGCAAUAAUCUUAUAAUUACCUUCAAACUGAGCUCUCCAGCUGCAUCUUCAGAUUCACUUGUUUCCUUCGGCUGCUUAUUAUUAGACUUUGGUUGUCUACGUGAUGAUUCUGUGACACCAUCCUUGACCGUGGAACCGACUUUAUCUCUACGAGUCCGAGUUUUUGGCUCUGAAUAGACUGCACUACCAGCCAAUAUUUCACCAACCUUUUUGCUUCCCUUCUUACCCGAGUGUCUCAAGGGCUUCUCUUCUGAGUCGCUCAAAUCUUCUGAAGCCUUCUUAGAAUCUGGACCUUCAGAAGAAGACGUAAGCUGGUCAGACGACAAGUCACCUCCACCUUUCUUGUCAGAUAUGUCUGACCCAGAAGAUCCGUCUCUUUUUGGUGGAUCUGAAUAAACAGUUCCAUCAUUAGCACUUGAAGGAAGUUGAAGAUGAUCUUUAUUGUCAGUAUCCAAUGGCAUGGGUGACUCUGCUUCUUUAUCGGAUGGACCAUCAACUUGUGCACUAUCAGCUUCUCUUCCAUGGUCUUCUCUACUGCCGGGUACUAGUGGUGUUUCUUUCUCGUUAUCAGUCCUAGAACCAUCACUCGUCUCAGUUAAUUGAGUAGACAAAUUAGAACUGCGGCCUCCCAUUUUCUUGGCGUUCAGAUCUGAUAAACUAUCAGGCUUCGCCACAGCUGACUCGACAUUGUUGGAAUCAUCUGUAGUUUCUGGAACAGUACCUUUUGACUCAACACCACGACGAGAUUGUUCAGGCUUCUGUUGAGGUGAAGUUGGUUCCACCACAGAUUCACCAUUACCUAUUGGAACAGUACCAUUGGUCAUCUUUGAUUGCGAUGACUCGUUUGCAAGGGUAUCAGAUUCUUGAGGACAACCUACUUGAUCCAACUGUGAAGAGACCUGACAUUCAUAAUUUAUAAAUUAGAAAAAUGGAAAAAGAAAUCUAUAAGACAUUUAUGAUUCAACCAUAAAGCUGUAUUUUAGUCACAGUUACAUGCCUGAGGUAGCUCAUCAGAAACAGCCCUCUCAGAUAGCUUAUUAUCAUCUGCCUGAAACACCAUAAAAAAACUAACUUAUCAAAGUCUCAAUCAAUAAAAGCAACUAUAAUUACAAUAAGAUUUUCAAUGCAGAGUCAAAAGGAUUAUAAAUGUGUGGUAGCAAAUUACUGAUAACAGUUAGAUGGUUUAAGGUGUCAUAAUGACCCUUCUCAGUUCAAGAAACUAAGUCCGAGUCUGAAGUAGCAAGUUAGCUCAAGAGUACACGACUGAGAAAUCUCUGAUAUUAUAACUCAAACAACUACAACUACAGUUAGAAAAAGGCAUCUGCAUAGUCUUCCCCAUUCAUUCAGUUAAACAAUACCCAGAGUCGACAACUAUACAGCAUAAGCUAUUGAAGAUUUAAACUACCAUAUGGAUUUCCAUCAAUUGCCACAUACAAUGGUGUUUUCCCGUGGUGGAGAAAGACUCGCAUUCUUCCCAGAAUCAUUUACAUCGGUGCGGUCCGUAGCAUCAGAAUUCUCUUGGCGUAGAGAGCCAACAACCUUGCUAUAAUUACUUAAGGGAGUGUUUUGGACUAAUUUUAUCAAAGCCGGAUUCAGUUUUACACCACAGUUACGAACGACUUUCUCUGCAAGUCUGAAUGCUGUAGGAUUGAUUUCCUGUAAACAAGAAUAAAAAGAAUUGUGAAAAUCAUAUAGAUGGUUGCAGUUGGAGAUUAAAGCAUUAUAAGGAUGGAAACCUACUUUGCUCUCCUUUUUUAGACUCUCAAGAAGGCAAGAGACAAGUUCUGCUGAGAUAUCUUCACUCUCCUCAAUCACAAGUGUCAUUAUAGUCUCCAUUGAUGAGAAGACAUUUUCUGGAUGGUUCGACCUGAAAUAAAUUCAAUUGCCCUUUAGUAAUAAAUUAAAAAUAAUUAGAAACAAUUGAAAAGUGAAAAAAAUAUAAAAGAAAAAUGCUGACAACCAAAAAUUUAUAGUUUAUAUAAUAACCAGUAGACUGUAAAACCAAACAAAGAAAAUUUCGAUUAAAGAAAUUUAACUUUAGGAAAGCGCCAGCUAACUUGAUAAUUAAAGCUCGUACAAUGUAUCCUGGUUGCAAUAGUUUUAAGUCAUGAAAUCAAACCACACAAAAAAGCAGGUAGAUUUGUAUAUAUGCUGAUCUCCACAAACAAUGAUAUGCAUUUGACCUCCCAAACUAUUUUCGAAGAAAAAAAAAAUACUCCCAAACACAAGAAUUGAAUCCAAACAGUGGGUGGUUACUUCUCUUCCAAUUAGAAUUCAAUCCUAUAUAACUCAGAAGAAGGUACAAAGAAGGUACCAAAAUUGGCCACAUUUUAGCUUUCAUUGUGAAAGAAUUAGAAUCUAAUUGAUAUGUCACCAGAUUAAAGUAUCCAUGACUAUGACAGAAGUUUUAUUUUCAACCAAAUUAUUGCCGCACCUGCAUGUCCUAUAUGUAACGACUCAGGAGUUGCAUCAAAUUCACAGGUAGAAGAAAAGGAGGUAACGUUGGCUAGGCCUAACCACUAAGUGGUGGCAUAAGAAAGAGGCUAUUGGCUUCACAGACACUUUUGACAACGAGCAAAAAAAUUGGUUAUAAGCAAACCGAAGAUCAUUUUAUGACAACAAUAACAGGCACAGCUGAACAUUCAAUAAUAAGGAUUAGAUACAUCACCUUAACAAAUAAUAGAGGAUAUCAUGUAGAACCUAAAGUGUCUAACAUAACAGUUACCUUUUAGGCUUUUUGUUACAACAUCAUAUAUGACUAGCAUUACGUAUCUGCUUUAUCACUUGAAUUUAUCUCUUUCGAUGGCAGUUUAUAAGAAGUUUGCUACCUCUUCAGAUGUUUACCAGUUAUGCUCUAACAAAGCAGCAAGAGGCAUCAUUUCUUUUACUAUUGAUCAGCAGCAUUCAUUGUAGACUUCCUAUACCUAUUGGCGUACAGUUGCAAUGUCAUAAAAUAUUAAGAGGGACACAUACUAUGGAGAUAGAACAGCCUGUCAGAAAUUUUUCAUAGUGGCUAGUCUCAAGACUUAAGCAUGCAACAUCUACAUUAUCAAGUAACGGUCCUUGAUCUCUAAUUUGUUUUGAUUCAUAGCUAUGUAGCAGACAAUAAAUAUUGCUGUUCCGGUCUCAUUUUAAUUGAAUCCCAUGUACAAACAAGGCAACAGAUGUUGCUACUUUUAGAUUAACGCAACUGCCUCAGUAGAGGCUAGGUAUUCUGAAUUGUCUGCCCAAUGGCUGGACCACUUGAUAACUUUAGCAGGAACAAAAAUGUCAAAAUAAAACUGAAAAGGCAUUAAUAGACCUUAUUACCUUAUGGAAUUCAGGAAAUGACGAAACAUAUGUAGAAUUAGGUCAUCACAUUCUAGAUCCAACAUCACAACGCACGAUCGAACCUUUGCCACAGUUUCAAGAAUUGAAACCCUCUUCAAAUAUAAGGAACUGGACAUAUCAUCCAACUUUUCAAAUGCUUCCACUAUUCUCUGAAACACCAUCUGAAAUUUCAGAAGAAACGGUCAAACAAACUUAGCUCAAUGAGUCCAAAAUGGCACAGGAAUUCCUGGCUGCAAUUAUGACAGUGCUGACCAAGGUGCUUAAUAGUAGAUACACAAAAAUAUUAGUGGUUUUAAGAAAUAAGUAAUUGAACCUUCAUUAAAUCAUCAUCAUAAGGAGCAUCUGGUGCCGUUAUUCUCGUGAUUUCACUUGCACAUGAGGCCACAGAAACUCUUACAUCUGCAUUAGGAUGUCUCAAAAGCUCUUCGGCAACUAGGGCAUUCAUUGCAGGACGAAUUGCAUUUAUCAUCGAUUGAGACGGUGAUUGUUCCACCUUCAAUAACAAUCUUUCUGCUCGCUGUAUUUAGAAUCGAACAAGCUAAGAUGUUUUGCAACAGUAGAUGAUGUGCGAAAAAUAAACUGAUUAACUACAACGGAUGCAUAAAAUAAUAUAUCAUUAAAACCUUUAAGAAAAAAAAAACUAACUUCAGCAUGUGAAUAAUACGCAAUUUAUACAAGCGUCACUGCUACCAUCAGGCAUAAAAUGUUUAAUUCUCAGGCUUUGAGCACAAAUGUAAAAAUGCACAAAAGAACAAAACAAAUUAACAUAUAGACUAGCAUUAGCAAAAUAUUAGUAAAAGCAAUAAUAAUUUGCUACCCCAGAAUAAACAUAAUAAGUAAAAAGAAAGAAAAGUCUUGCCCAAAGGAAGAAAACAGAACUGAUUAAAACACACAAUCAUUGGCAACAAGAAUAAAAAAAGAAAAAUCAGCAUCAAAAGACAGAUUAUCCCGUCUGUUAUAUUAGUUCACUCUUAUUGUAGUUAUUUCCUACUGAGUUUAUACACUUGAAACCAUCCUCCCUCCACAAAGUUUCAAUCGAGCUGAACAAAUAACUAACAAAGAAUGAGAAAGUUUAAUUCCAUUGUCUAGCCCAACAAUUUGCUUUCGCUACGGUUUUCAAUGAGAUACUACCCAAAUAGCCCCAGCACAGCUCGUUCCAAUUAACACGCUGGCGCAUGCAGUUGUCUUACCUCAACCUCUCAUUGGAAAAGUUUCUCCUACUUAACAGUGUAUAUUGUUCAACAAAGCACAACUACUAAAACUGUUAAUAUAUAAGCACACAUAAAGUGAAUGGACAACCAAAUAAAGCAUCGCAAUCCACAGCAAUCAACUUUCAGUUUCCGUUUUCUUGGCUAAAACAGUGUAAUCCAUCAUCAAAUUUAAAAAGUACUACAAUUAUAAUACCAGGGAAAAGUUUUGCAAAGGCUAUAGGAUCUAUCCAAUGUUCUUGCUAGUAGAUUCGAGAAGUUCUACUUCCUCAGAACAAAACUGACUCCGCAUGUAUCUACUAGAAGAAAAUGUAAUACAAAUCUAUAGAACAAAACAAUAUUGCACAAUAUCAGUCUCUGUCGCUUUCAAUUCUUCCGAAAAUGAGAUCGAGCAAGCAAAAAACCACGUCCGCACAUGUAUUGCAACGCAACAUGGUGACAGCACAUACGAAACUACAAAGAAAUUGAAACCCUAAUACUCUAAACACAGAAAUAUACAAACAAUCGAUAUCAAAACAGAGCGAAAUCUUUAAUCCAAGAGCAAAAGCAAAGGAAGAGUGCGUAUAGAACGAUUCACGUAACGAAAAGAGAGCGAAGAGGACUCACAUCGAGAAGAGGGAGGAGCUCUUCGACAGAAGUCGCCGGCGAGCGGAGACGAUCGCCGAUUUUACGGAGCCGAUCCUCGAGUCCCUUAUCCGCGCUCGCCAUCUCCCCUCCGGAGAUCACAGAUCCCCUUCCUCCGCCACCACCAAACUGAUCGAAACCCUAGAAAAACCCUAGAAAUCCGGAUCCGAACGCGAAUCCACCGAUCGGAGGACGCGAUCGAGCGAAUCUACGGAAGAGAAAACCGCAAAACGUCCACGGAUUUAGGGCUCCGAUGGAUUUCGCAGCUAGGGUUUCGAGAGGAGCUCGCCGUUAUUUACCUUCUCCGACCUUUUUUUCCCCCUUUUUUUUUUUUUUCUCUUUCGCUUUUUGGAUUCGCAACGUUGUGUUUCUUUUUCUCUCCCCUUUUUUCCUGGUAUUUUUAAAUCCUUUUAAUUUACAUUUAUUUCUUAUUAUAUAUAUAUAUACAUGUGGCACCCUCGACGUACGUGAAGAGUAAUAAGGCGGAUUCGGCACGGUUUAUUCACUGGAUUUUACCGAGGGGCCUCGCGUCCGCGAACCGGGUUUUUCUCGGCCUUCGGUUCCAGCGCGGAGAGGACAAAUGUUUUCCCUGCACCGAGUGUACGAUUGCAUUUCAUAUACCACAUAUUUAAAAGUAAACAAGGAUUAAUUGCACUCCAAUGUCCAAACAGGGUCUUAAUAUUUAUAAAAGCACCAAUGAUAUUUUACAAUUUGAAGGAGUAUUUAUAAAAUUACAACCCGUCACGAAGAAAUUAACCCUUAAUUAAUUUUGUGACAUGCAUUAAGGUGUAUUAAGUAUAUGCAUAAACCGGGUGCAAGGAGUUUUUUCUGUUGAGAGGCGGGAAAUAGCCCACGCGCCCUUCAGUCACCCCCGGCGAACUGACUACUGUGGCCUUCGUGCCCAGUAAAAAUAUAUGGAAGCGUAGACAUGUCAACGGAUUGGACUCGGGAUGAAUUUUUAAAAAUUUGAAUCCAAAUCCGACUUUAAACCUAAGAUCUGAAUUCAAAUUCGAAUCCGACAGAUUUUAAAAAUUUAUAUCUAAACCUGACCCGAUCAAAAAUUCGAAACUCAAAUCCGAACAAUUAUUUUUUUUUUCAAUAUUUCAAAAUAUAUUACAUUAAAUCUAAAUUUUUAAAGUUAUAUAUAUAUAUAUAUUUAUUUAUAUAUAGUUGGACUGGGCUACUAUUAGUAGCAAAAUCUCAUUGUUGCUACAAGUUUUUUAGCAUUUGGAUCAACUCUUUUCAUUAUUUCUAACUAUUGGAUUAAAUACUAUAAUCCAGUGGGGACCACUCAACCAUAGAAGGACCACUCAACUCUAACUGACUAAUAUCAUCCUGACCCUACAAUUUUUCAUCCAAGGGUUAAAAAUUUGAUAGCAAAAAGAGCGUUUUACUAUCAAUAGUAUUCCAGCCUAAUUCUAUAUAUAUAUAUAUAUAUAUAUUAUGCAUAAUAAAUUCGGGUUCGGGUCGAAUUCGGGUUCGGAUCAGGUAUCGUUAAAAUUCAUAUUCGAGUCCAUAUCCAUCGAAUUUUUAUUUUUGAUAUUCAUAUCUGAAUCAAUAUCCAUUUAGCAUUAGAUAUACCCGCUUCAUUCGGAUUCGGAUUCGAAUAAAAUUUCGAAUAUCCAUACCCACUACUAUCAUAUAUCUUAUAUUCUUUUAAUCCAAAAGUCAUCAUUUCUGACUUAUCGCGGACACGUGCGCCGGCAUACAUAUAUCUAUAUUAUGUAAAAUUAAAAUUUAUUUAAAUUUUAUAAAUUCUAGAAUUCCACCCGUAAGAUAUACAUCCCUAUACCCUGUAAUUGGUGUACAAAUAGUAUUUUAUUCAUAAAAUUUAGAGAAAACUUCAAAUACCCUCUUGUGGUUUCACUCUUUCUCACUUUAGUAUCAUGUGGUUUAAAGUGUAUCAAAUUAGUACCCUGCGAUUUUGCACUUUCUCACUUUAGUACCCUAUGGUUUAAAGUGUAUCAAGUUAGUAUCAUGUGGUUUCGCACUUUCUCACUUUAAUACCCUGUGGUUUCGCACUUUCUCACUCUAGUACCCCUAUAGUUUAAAAACCAUAGAGUACUAACUUAAUACAAAAAUAAAAUCACAGGGUACGAAUUUGAUAUAAAAAUAAAACCACAGAGUACUAACUUGAUACACUUUAAACCACAGGGUACUAAAGUGAGAAAGUGUAAAACCACAGGGUACUAACUUGAUACACUUCAAACCACAAGGUACUAAAAUAAAAAAAUGCGAAACCACGGGGGGGUUUUUUGAAGUUUUUCCUAAAAUUUACCAAACUAAGGACUAUUGGGCUAAUUACACUUUUGGUCCUCAAACUAUGAGGCAUCUAACACUUUGAUUUUCAAAACUUUAAUUCAUUAUAAUUUAUUGCUCGAACUUUUUAAAUUAUUACAAUUAAAUUCCACAACCUAUUUUAGCUGACUAAAUGUUGACAUAUUGAUAAUGUAGAAGUGAUGUGGAAGCAUUCUAACUAAAUUGGAUUGUGAGACUUGAUUAUAAUAAUUUAAGAAGUUUGAGUCAGAAAUUAUAAUGAAUUAAAGUUUCAGAUUUAAAAUGUCAUAUCGCCCAUUGUUUGGGGACCAAAACUAUAAUCUACCCAUGGCCUAAAAUUAUUAUUUAUUUAUUUAUUUUAAUUUGUUUAAUUUGGGUCUAAGUCAUAUUUUUGGUUUUUCAACUAUUAGACACAUGACACUUUGAUCCUCAAAAUUCAAUUUACUAUAAUUUCUGGUUCAAAUCUUUUGAAUUAUUAAAAUCUAUUCAUACGAUUCAAUUUAAUUAACUAAAUAUUAAUAUAUUACUAAUGUAAAAAUAAUGUACUAGUAAUAUACCCCAUAAAAUGAUAAUAAUUAAAAUGUCACAUCAUUAUGUAGAGAGCUCUCCCGCUUUUCGUAUAUAGAGUAAUGCUAUGGGUUCCUCAAAAAGUAGCCAUGUAUAUUGUUGAUGACUCAGGGUCUAACAUGACAGCUAAUUUGGAAUACUAAAUUCAAAAUUCAAAUUGUUUCAAACACUGGUCAUGCAUGUGCCAAAUUAUAUCGCUAAUUUAUUCUGCUCGAAUUAUGAAAUACCAAAGAAUCAUCAACCAGAAGUGUGAAACGAGACUCGACAUGAGCCAGGGUCAUAUAGCGGGUGGAGUACGGAUCCCCGACUGACAAUCAUUGUGGGUGGCACGCAGUUCCCCAUAAGAUCAGCUAGGACUAGCGAGACAAAUCUCAUAUUAUUUGUGCUUAUAAGUAUAUUUGAGCCUUAUAAAAACGUCAAAACUUAAAAGGAGAAGAAAUAUAACACCCCUAAUAUUUGAAAUAAUUUUAUAUAUAAGAUAUACUAUGGCUGAAUAUUAUAUCUUAUAAUAUUUAGCCAUAUUAUAAGAUACAUGGGUACCUUUUGAGGAACCACUAGCAUUAGGCUAGUUUUUAUAAGACAUUCUUUGUUGAUGGCCAUAAAGUAUAAGUGUCCUUUCCCAUGGUUAAUUAUAAUUGUGCUUUGCAUUAGUGGAUCUGGCUAUCUAUGGUGUGUAUUAUUUGUUGUGAUAACCUAAUGUGCACUCCGUUAGUUGGUUAAUGUAAUGAUCUAGAGCAUGUUCGGCUCACGAUCAGAAUGAGAAAUGAAAUUGAAUUGUAUCAGAAUGGAAAAUAAGAAGAUAAACUGGUCGAAAAUAUUUGGUAUAUUAUUGAAAUAAAAAUCAGAACGGACAAUCGAAACACUUAGAAAUCUAAAAGAAGAUUUUAGUUAAGAGAGAGAAGAGUAAUGAAGGAAGAGAAAAGGCACGUGCUUGUUAGAAAUAGUUUUGAGCGGCAUAUUCUGAAAUAAACAAAUUCAGGAUUUAAAAUCGAAUUAAGCCAUAAAUGGAUUAGAUCAUUUUCAUUCAAGUGUAGUAUACAAAUCGAAAUCCGAUAUCUGUAAAAUAAACAACGAUUAUCAAAAUCAAUAAAACUUAUUUCGAUUUUAGAGUCUAAAGUAGGUGAAUCAAACAAAGCCCCUAAAAUAUUUGUUUAUAUACGCUGAUUGGCAUUAUUGUCUUUUUUAUUAUUAUUAUUACUUUUUUUUUGGCUGCAAAAUAGUUGGGAAAUUAAUUAUUGUUGUCAAGUACAAUGGCAAUUUGGUUAUUUGGCUUGAUUUCCUGCUAAUCUGGGUUAUGCUGAAGAGGUUAAGUUGAAGAUUAAAUUGCAGGAAUGUUUAGGGUAUGUUAGUUUCACGAAAAAUUAAAAAAAAAAAUCGAAGAAAAUUAAUUUUUAGUGGAAAAGUAAUUUUAGGAUCCUUCGACGUUUAUUAGUUUGCAUAAAAGGAAACAAAUUGGUUUGUAGGGGAAAAAAAAAAAGUAAAGAGUAUUUUUAUUAUUUUCUUUUAUAAAAUAUAAAUUCAAUAUUUUAAUAUGGGAUUUAUAUAGUAAAACUAUACUUUCUAAUUAAUUAAAAUAAUAAUUUAAUAUUUAUAUUAUAUUAUAUUAUAUAAAUAUUAGUUAUAUAAUAUUAUUUUUGCAUGCAAUUUUGAUAAAUUAUAUAAUUUCAAUUAUGUAAUUUACUUCUCUAUUUUCACGUGGACUUGUGUGAGCCACGCUUUGCUUUCGUUUUUGGCUAGGUUUAAUUUUGCUAUCUAACUUUUUAAUUUAUUUAAUUUAAAUCAAUUUAAUUUGAAUCAGUUCAUAACUAUUUAACUUUAAAAUUUAAAUACAUAAUAUAUUUUUACAAAUUUAAUUAACAAAUUUUAUAUAAUUGGUAUAACUAUAAAUUUAUUAAAAUAAGCAAUUAGCUUAAAUUUUGUACCAAAAAGUCAUUAAAUGACUAACAUCAAACAAAUUAAAAUGUUAGGUACUACUGCCAAAAUUUUAAAAGGUUAAGUAGUCAAACCACAAUAGUCUAUAAUUUAAGUUUUAUACAUUUUUACCGAAAAGAUAUAAAUGCCUCUGUUUACUUGUAAAAUUAUUCUAAUUCUAUUUUUUUUUAUUUGUUGUGUUUCUCAUCUCACUUUGAAAUUAUAUACAAUUAAUGAAAGAAAAGGAAGGAAAAAUGCAUGGAGAUCACCUCAACUACAAAACAUUUUGAAAUUAGACCCUUUCUAUAUAUAUUGACAGUAUUAACUAAUUCCGAUUAUUUUGCAUUAGUUAAUGUUAUGACAAACGCACAAACGGAAACAAAAUGACGAAUACGAAACAAUCAAACCACAAGCAGAAAAUAAGAAGAACACAUAGAUUUACGUGAAAAAUUCUUUGCAGGAAAAAAUCACGGGCGAGGGAGGAGAGAACUUCACUAGCGAACGAAAAAGAAAAUACAAUGUUCAGAUGAUACAACCAACCACGAUCUCACGCCUCUAGGGCAAAAACGAAGAGGAAAACUCUUAACGGGUUUCGAAUUCGGCCUGUCGGCCUGAGCCCUCCGCUAUCCAUCACAGACAUUCAUUUUUCCUUCACAAUUUUACUUUUCCAAUUUGGUCGCACCGCGAAGCUGUUGACGAGUCGAAAAUUCGAAUUUGAGUCGAUUAUCAAUUUCGAGUCACAUCUAACAGUUAAUACGGCCAACAUGUUUGCUCACAAAAUGCAUCUAAGAAUCAGCAAAAACACAAUAGCUUGUGAAUUAAAACCACUGAUCUCAGCUAUCACAUGAUCAACUUUAUUAAUUUGCUGGAUAAUAAUGGAAAGCAUGCAUGAAUUCAGCAAACAUCACAUAACACCAAGAAGAUUCAACAGAAGCACAGUACUUGGCCUGCAGAAAAACUCUGAACAAAAUCAAAGGAAAUACACAACACCAAAAGAUGGAAAUUUCACUUCGAAAUUCGCCGCUUCGCCUUUCGCUGAAAAUUUGCGCCUUCUCGCGACAGUAAGAAACUGUCGGCUCGAAAUGAGUCGCGAGAAAAAGACAUUUGACAGCAUAGAUCUAUUGCUGCAACUUUACCUGCUCAUGAUAUACAAUAAGUGUAGUCUCAGCAUCGAUAUGUAAUCAGGGAGUUAAGAAACAGUGAAGUUGUAUGAACAACAACCUGAGAAGCUUUUCCUCCCUGUGCUGUGAGACUAGCCUGGCACUUCUCCUCCACCAGCUUAUCUCGCGCUCUUUCUCGCGAAGAUCUCGCUCCGCGCACUCCAACGCGGACUCGAGCUCGGCAAUCCGCUCUUUCUGCCUUGUUUCUAACAGCUCGUGCAAUCUCCGCUCCAGUUCGCGCGCGGAUACGCCACUGUGAGGAGGGCUUUGUUCUUCUGCCAACUCAUUCCCUCCACUGUAGUGCUUCUCCUGAUUUAUAUGAUGCCAAAGCUUUAAAGAUCUUCUUCAAACAUGCAAUUGUGUUAAGUUAUAUUCGAUCGACUAUUCGAAUUAUCUAUCUUAGAGAUUUUGCUUCAUGCAGAUAAAAGAACAUGUGUGAGCACCAAAAGUGAUCUAAUUUUGAUAUAUAAACACUAAAAAACAAUCAAACAAAAACUUGUAAGUGAUAAAAAAUACCGAAAUAUAACACAACCAUAUAUACUGGCCAAUAUAAUUCAAGUGGUAUAUAAUAUAACAUAAGAUUUUCUUUUCUGCAAUUAAGCUUACCUCUGUUUCGUCUUGUCGAAGAUGCACCGAUGAAUUUUUCUCUUCGACAUUGAGCCGCAGGCGUUCCAAUUCAACUUCAAGCAGCUCUUCCUCCAUCUUAUCUUUACCUCCUCCAGUAUUAUCUCUGACAGCAUUUUCUGCACUUUCCGAAAAUUUGUAAGAAAUGCAAUUGCUUAUGCUGCCAUAUUCAUAACAAUCUGAGUGAGAGAUCAGAGCAGUUUUCGACUCCGCGACGCUAAAAGAGACAUCUUUCUUGUGAUCAAUCUCAUUCUUAAUGUCUGUAAGUAAUAUCUCCAUUUGUUUUCGCAACUCCACCAUCUUGUUUAAUUCGACCGCGCUCGUCGCGAGAAGAAGAACUAGACCUGCACCCAUGCCAAGAUUCAGAGGAACCCCUUCCUUGCCUUUCCCUAGAAUCGCGGAAAGAGGAAUUAUCAGCAAUGAUACUUAAAGCUUUUUAACUCGUAAAAGUUCGAGGAUGAAAAUGAAACUUUAGACUACAGGUUCAGGGAUUGGUAGUGCAAUUUACCCAGAUAAAAAGUACAUCAAGAAACAUAGUGUUAGUUUUAUAUAUCAGUACAUAGUGUACUGUAAGAAAAGGGAGAAAAAAAAAUAAAAAUAAACACCACAUACAAGAAUCUAUUAGGGCCUGUGAAUAUCUUUAUUUGGUAAAUCAACUUAAUUAACUAACUCAAAGAGUUUAUACAUUUGAAUGACAAGGUGUGUAAUCAGAUAUGUUUAGAAUGAAAUAUUGUAUUCUGACUAUAAAUUAUAUUUUCAGAAUAAAAUAAAUCUCAUCGUAGAUAAAAUAUACUAUUCUAUCGAAUCAUGAACAAUAAGAGGUUUGAAAAGUUGAAAUCAAACUUCUUACCUACAAUUAUACUAGAAGAAUUCUCGUAUAGAAUAAGUUAUGCAAAGUUAACUGUAUUAUAAUAAUAUUUUAUGACGCAAUCUAAAACCAUUCAUCAAAUCCAUCCAUUCUAUAACAAAUAAAUCAAAUCCAACAAUCAAAUCCAAUCUACAACUAUAUAUCAAACACAAUCCACACAUCCCGCGGGCUACAAAUCAAACAAAACUGUAUAAAAUCAGCUUGCUCGUUCUGAUACCAUGCAUGUUAUCUAAAAGAUCGAUAUAACAAAAGGCUAACAAGAAAUACUCAUGACACUUACAAACUUAAAAAGAAGAGAAAGGAAGCCUCUCCAUACCUGAAGAAGCAGAAGCAGAAGAAGAAGAAGAACCCUCCACCUCUCUUUCUUCUUCCUCCUCUUCCUCUCCUUCCUCCACCACCACCACCACCUCUUCCUCUUCCUCUUCCUCCUCUUCAUUCUUCUUCUCCCUCUUCCCCUUCCCAUAAGCACAGUACCCCGGAAACCGCACUCGGCACCCGACCCCUUCCCCGCCGCUGCUGCUCCGUCCCGGAGACUGCAGUCGGCGCGAGAGGAGGACUCGAAUUCGGGAGAGCAGCGACCGCGGAGAGUAGUAGUAGUUGGAGUUGUAGUAGUAGUAGUAACACUCAGAAGGAGAAGAGGAGGAGAUAGAAUUGAAAUGAGGAGUUGGAGAUUGUUUAGCGAAAUGGUCACUCCUUCUACUUCUCCUCUUGCCCUCCAUCUCUUCUUCUUCUUCUUCUUCUUCUUCUUCUUACUCUCCUUUCUCUUCUUCUUCCUCUUUGUUGUCUCCUUGAUAAUGCACAAGGACAAUGCCUAUUCUCAUACAUGCACAUGUGUGUGUGUAUACUAUAUAUAUAUAUAUAUAUAUAUAUAUAUAGAGUAGGACUACUGUGCUAUUAGGAGCACAGCAGUCCUUAUGCUCCUAAGUUCUUAACCGCCCAUCAAAUUUGAUGGGUGGUUAGGAUAAAAGAGAAAAGAGAAAUUGAAGAGAAAUUGGGUUUCUCAAUUUCUCUUCUCUUUGAAUUUCUCUUCAAUUUCUCUUCUCUCUUUCACCCUAACCACCCAUCAAAUUUGAUGGGCGGUUAAAAACUUAGGAGCACAAGGGCUGCUGUACUACUAAUAGCACAGUAGAUAUAUGUAUAUAUGUAUAUAUAUAUGCUUGUUGGUCCUAUUUAUUGGAUUUGUAUACUAAAAGAAAAAUGAAAGGGCCAUUCACCUCAUCUUCUAUUUUAACAAAGCAAAUAUGUAUGGAGACCUCCACAACUAAAUGUUAUUUUGAAAUAAUAAAAAUUUAUAGAACUAAUCUGAACUACAGAUUAUUUUGGAUUGAGUACUUGACUUUCCAAAAUUUUAUUUUGACUAUCCAAUCUUCCGAUUUACUUGAUUUGCGUCAAUCAUCGGCUACACUUUGAUUUCAAAAAAUAAGUUAAUUAUUUAUUUUAAUAAAUUUAUAGUUGCAAAAAUUACAUAAAGUAUAUUAACCAAGUAUGUAAAGAUAAACGACAUAUUUAAAUUAAUUUUAAAGUCAAAUUAUCAUUGACUAUCAAAUAAAACACAUUGAAAGGUCGGAUCAUAAAGUCAAAAUUUUGAAAGAUUGUAUAGUUUAUUUAAAAUGGUCCAUAGUUUAGAUAAGUUUUGCAGGCCUUUAUCUUUUGAAAUAGCCCCAUCAACUUUUUAGCUAAAAAAUUUGAAAUUAUACAAUAUCAGUGAAUCAAAUUUAAAAACUAUUUACUUUAUUGUAAAUAAAAUUAGAUUGAUUAAUUGCUAAUAACUAAUUACACCAUAAAACUUGACAAAAAAAAUUGACUUAAUCAGCUAAAGAAUAAUUAAAAUUUUAAAAAAAUUUAAAAAAUAUCUCAAUAAAAAAGAAAAUAAGGUGAGGGGCCUAUGGUUGAGGGGUUCUCCACUCAUUUUAUUUUAUCCUUUAUUAUAUAUUAAUAAUUAUUAAUGAAUAUGACCCAAAUGUGGGAGAGAGAGAGAGAGAGAGAGAGAGAGAAUCAAAUCGUGGGAGAUAUCGUUGUAUUAAUAAAUGGAGGGAAAUGGGUGGGGACCCACCACGCGACAAGUUCCCUUUGCUUCUUGGCGGGAAACGAUGCCAAGAAGUGCCACGUCAGUUUUUUUAAAUUAAUAAAUAUUAAAUACAUUCAUAUUUGUAAAUAUAGGGAAUUAUAAAUAUAUUUCUAUAAAAUUUAUAUUUUUAUAUAUUAUCUCUGUAUUUUUUUAAAUAUUUUUCUCUACCUUGUUAUCGUUAUAGAACUGUUUUAUAUUUCAAGUAAAAUAUAAAUUUUACUAUCACAAAUAUGUCCUUACAAAAAUCACAACAGUAUAAAUAAGAAGGACAAAUAUGUCAAGUUAUCUCAUAAAUUAACUAGAGUUAAGUAUUUAACUUAUAGUUAAUUAAAGUUUUCUAAUAGAUUCCAACGGCAGGGACAUAUUUAAAAAUAUUAGGAUUUUUGUAGAAACAAUAUAUGAAAGUUGAACUUUAUAGGGACAUAUUUAUAAUUCAUAUAUUUGCAGGAACUUGUAUGAAAUUAACUCUUUUUUAUUUAUGUUUGUGGCUUUCUGGUCAUCGGAUUGUUUUAAAAUUUGUGCAGUACUAAUUUCAUUAGAUUUUUGUUGCUAAUGUGUAUGAAAUUUAGGUGAUCCGACGACGAACGCAUGUUGAGCAUCGGUGCUUUUAAAAAUAUAGUAGCUCAACUUUAAUAAAUAUUUAAAGUAAACUGUUAUUGUUAAAGUAAUAUUUUUAUAUUGUGUGGGGGCCAAAUCCAAUAAUCUAAGACACAGUUAGAUGUAAUGAGUUUCCUUUGGCAUUACAAAGCUUCAAUUUGGCAAUAUCAGUUCUCAAAUUUAAAUCUCUUUAAUAGAUUUAUCAAUAAAUUACGCUUGUUAGUCACUGCACUUUUAGUAAAAUUUCGUUUAGAUCAUGUCACAAAACUUUAAUUUUGUUUCAAUUAAAUGACUAAACUUUAAUUUUUAUUUCAAUUUGGUUAUUUUUAUUUAAUUUUCAAUAAUUUUUCCAACAAAAUAGUUCAGUUGUCAUAUUAUCUAUCUUUAGAAAAUCACGCAACAAUCAAAAUUAAUACUUAAAAUAGUAAACUAUUAUGUCAUUUCUCAAUAUUGAAAUUAGUGCCCCAUCAUUCCUUCGUAAAAAAUAAAAAUAAUAAAAUUCAAGACCAGUAACCAAAUCACGUAAAAAUUAAAUUUUAAUGACUCGAUUGAAAGAAAUAUAAGUUUGAUGAUCUAACAAGAUUUCGCCGAAAAGUUCGGUGACCAAUGAUGUAAUUUAACCCUGAUUUAUUUAAAGAGAUGAAUUAAAAUCAUUUUGUAGGAGCAUAGGGGACGUAGGUGCUUUUAUUUGUUCGUAUUCUUUUAUUUGUUCGUAUUCUGUAUCAUUUUAAUUUUAGAUUUAUGAGAUGUAUAUAUUUUUUACUUUGAAAUAGGAGACCAUGUAAUGUGCUGCAAGAUUCCAACGUGCGUUCGAAAUGCGAUACCAGUUUUGAUUUAUAAUUUGUACCAUAAAAUUUUAGUUUAUAAUCAGCAUUCACUAAUAGAAUAAAAUAAGAGAAUAAUAUUGAAAAAAAUAAGCAAGCAAUAAAAAGACUUAGAAACACAGCUAUUUUCGAAAAAAUAAUACCAAUCAAUCACAAUCUACCAGGCGGAAUUAAAUAACAUACUCUCUACGAAAUUAACUAUUUAAUCCAAUCGGAAUGGUAGUAUUAGCAGAGUCAUUUUUACUUAUUAAUAGAAAGAUUUCUUACUGAAUUAACUUAAUAAUCAGUGAUAGGAUUUUGACGAAAUUUUAAUUCAUCUAUGUUAAUAAUAACACCAUGCAUUCACUAAUCGAAACGGUGUUAACGUUUUUAUUAUUAUCUAAUUUCAAAGAUACUUGAUUUCUAAUUCCAGAGGCUUUUAUGUUUGAAUCUCCAAAAAUUGGGUGCACAUUUAACACACAACAACUUUGGGGGGAACAAAAGAAUAAUAGAGAGUGACAGAGCUGAGAUAUGUGGAUUGUAAUCUUAAAAGAGAGAGAGAGAGAGAGAGAGAGAGAGAGAGAUAGAGAGAGAGAGUAUGUAUGUAUGUAUGUAUGUAUGUAUGGAUGUAUGGGGUUGGAGCAGAGGAUUCACAAGCAAGGUGUGAGGCAAUUUAUUAAGUGGAGGCAAUAAAAUGCAGCAACUUAUCUGCAUAUGUCUUGUGCUUGUGCAAUAAAUUGGAAACCUCAUUAAUUGUCACCAAUUAUUGGAGCUUUCAUGGGGAAGAGGAAUUGCAUAAAUGAUUGAUUUUUUUUGGGGGGGAAAAUAUAAAUACAAUAAAGUAAUAAAAUAAACAAGGAAAAACUUCAAAACCCCCCUUGUAGUUUCGUACUUUUUUAUUUUAGUACCAUGUGAUUUUAUUUUUGUAUCAAGUUAGUAUCCUAUGAUUUUUAAACCACAGAGUAUUAAAGUGAGAAAGUGCAAAACCAGAGGGUGCUAACUUGAUACACUUUAAAGCAUAGAAUACUAAAGUGAAAAAAUGCAAAACCACAGGAUACUGACUUGAUACACUUUAAACCAUAGGGUACAAAAGUGGAAAAAAGUGAAACCACAAGGGGGUAUUUGAAGUUUUCCCAGUAAACAAAGAAGAAUGAAAAAAGAAUAGGUGAUUUAGGGAACUUCAAAUCUUCAAUGAAGGGGAUCAAGUGGACUCCUCCCACACUCAAAAGUCAAAACUCGAGCUCAGAACCCUCCAAAUCAGACCUCAUGCUUUAUUACUGGAAUCGUUUCUAAUUUAACAUCCCGCAAAAGAUAACAAGUACCCAGCAUGUUCUGUAAUUGAAAAAUAAUAGAGGACUAAUCCACUUAAUAUAGCAAAAAAGAAAAAGAGAAAUAAACAAUUCUAGUUAAAUAAGGUUAUUUUGAGAUAUUUCAGGUGUUCUGUUUUUAUUUGAACUUAUAUAUAUAUUCUUAUGAUCUAUAGCCAAAUAAAAUAUCGAUUGUUGAAUGACCAAGAACAAAAAAAAUCAUAUCCAUAAAAUCUGUCCUGCAAUCAAGCAUAAACUUAAGGGUCGAUAUCAAUUUACUUCCUUGUUGUUUUUAGCAUAUUUUUACUUUAUCACUAUGGUUGUGUAGUACAAUAUAGUAAUUUGCUCUUAUAAAUCUACCCCACGGCAAAAAGUCUACAAUAUAGUAAUUUGCUCUUAUAAAUCUACCCAAUGGCCAAAAGUAUCAAUUUGUUAUGCUAUUUACCGAUAGUUCUUUGUAGUAAAACAAAAAUAAAAAUACGAUCUUUUCUAUAUUCUACAUAGGGACAAAGUGUAAGUUUAUAUUUAAAAGGCGACAUGCAUCUUACACCCCACAUAUUCAAUAGCCACUCGAUGUGAUUACACUCCGAUACUACAAAAAAAUUACUAAGUAUCCAAAAAGGCCCUAAAUUUUUACAUUCGAGAUGCGAAUUGCCAACUGCGAAGCAUGGAAAGGAACACAAGACGCCCAAAGCAAAUUACAACUUGUUUUUUAUGUAGAACAUAACAUAUCACAGGCAUAAGAAACAAAUCUUUUUGCGGUGAAACCGAAAGGAUUUUUGUUAGCUUAGACAAAAAUGGAACAUAAUUAAAAAGAAAGAAAAAAAAUCUAUCAAUUUAUAUGUUGUUAACAUCCUACUGCAUACACAGGAGCAGCAUCUACAAAGACUUUGAUAAAACAGAGCCUUUUUCAAUAACACCUACGCACAAGCAACUAAUCAAUAUUACUCUUGUAUUUGGACUUCACGAGAGACUUAAUUAACAACAAAACGAGAUGAAGAUAAAUAUUGGAUGAACCAAAAUUGCAGAUCUCUGAAAAUCUCUUUUACUUCAUCGGAUAGGUGCAAAAUGUCCGUCUUAAAUUAGAUCUCGCCAAAAUGUCCGUCUUAAAUUACGCUGUCAAAUGGGUGCAACGAAAAAAAUAAGUUAUACAAUAACUCUCUGACUAGACGAACAGAAAACUUAGAACAACAACAAAACUGAUUAUUAUGCUAAAAAACAAACGAUACAACAAAUAACAGUUGGCCAUGUUUCAUCGUCACCAUCAUAAUAUCCGCAGCGGUUGGUUCCCCACUCUGGUUUGGUCCACCUUCAACUUCAUCUUCUUUCGUGCCUUCAUGCUCGCGACAUCCUGGAAAGGAUUCGCCCCGUCGAAUGAUUCCUUACCAUUCUUCACCUUUUUCCUCUUACCGCGAUCGUAUUCCUCGUCCCUGAGAUAUAAGAAGCUAAAUUUACAACCCUUUCGACAAAGCAUAAGCUGAGAAACACAAACGAUAGCUGCAACUACUGUAAACAGAUAAAUUAUACUUAACAUUAUUUUCAUGUUCUAAAUAAAAUCCACAAUAGCAUAUGGGUCUGAGGCAAUGAUAACGGUCGUGCUAUCGGGUCCUAGUUAUCAUGGGUUUGAAUCACAAAAAAGCACCUCCUUGGAUUAUAGGGCAAGUUGUGUCCAUUAGACUGCUCAUCACACCUCAAAGUGUCUCGUAUGCUGGACUGCCUAUUAAAAAAUAUUUUACAAAAAUAGUACAUGUAAACUACGCACGCCACUAGCUUCUAAUGACGAUAGACUAUUACAUUAAAAGAUCAAAAUGCACUGGGUGCAGAUAGCAGAAAUACUACCAUUUGUAAACCAACAAUAUGAAAAUGUUAAUCUGGGCACAUAAUCCAUUUGUUUCACUACAAAUAUAUUGAUUUUAUAUAGCAUCAGCUAGAAGUUAACGAUAGUUGUCAAGCAACCUAAAUGCCUAAAAACUGUCCAGACAAAAUUUUUUGCCUUUCUGGACUAGAGGACAUAUCUUUUUCUGAUAAGGCCCUGCUGUAGGGUAUACUGUUGUUUGAUAAAGUAUUGGUUGAGUAACGACAACGAUAUUACGAGAAGCACAAUACUAAUAUAUUUCCAUUAGCUUCUUUUCCAGUAAUUGGAAGCACCAAAUUUAAGCUUCUGCCUUUGAGGCUUAGAACCUCAUUUUUGGGUUCCCCUGCAUUAGAAGCCUCAAAACUUUCCUGCUGCCACUGAUCUACCAGAGCAUGGUGUGCCGAAAGCAAAAAAAAGGUUUCUGCUCCAACAAUCAUUCACCCAUUUCUGCAAAUACUUUCAAGGCAAAUGUCACACCCCAAUAAUCCCACAUCAGAUAGAAAUGGGGAAUGUGAUUGAAUAUAUAAGAAACUUAGAUACUAGUAAUAAUAACCGGGCUUAAGCAUUUUGGGCCGGUGGUUUGGACCCAAUGAGUUAUUGUUACUAGUAGGCUGGGUCGUUACAUUUGGUAUUAGAGCCGGUUCACCAGCCGAAGAUGUGUGACGAGUCUCGGCUGAGCCAGGGCCUGAAAGAUAAGGUAAUAGCUAUGCCGGAGUCUGAAUGACAAAGUGACCGGCUAUGCCAGGGUCUGGAUGACAAGGCUAGUAAGACAAGUCUCACAUUGCCUGGUGAUCUUGGGCUGUGUGUGUGAUUGGUGACGAAGACGUCAGAACCUUAACGGGAGGAGUCUGUCACACUCCAAUAAUUUCACAUCGGAUAGAAAUGGGAAUGUGAUUAAGUAUGUAAGAGACUUAAAUACUAGUAAUAAUAACUGGGCUUAAGUAUUUUGGGCCGGUGGUUUGGCCCAACGAGUUAUUAUUACUAGUGGGCUGGGUCGUUACAGCAAAAUAGUCUUAAAAAGUCCACUCAAAUUUGAGUUCGCUUUUCACGUAAAAACUUUCAUGCCAACUGCUCGUUACAUAUUACAUCACACCACACCAAAUAACUCCAAUGAUAAAAUCAAACGAUCAAUGUUCAUCUAAUAUCUGAAAUAUUACAUAUUAAACCAGAGAAUUCUAAGCAAGCACAUGAAGCCUACUCAAGCAGUUUUAAUAACUGUAUUAUUGUUUGACUCCAACUAAAUUUUAAUUUAAAAAUUCAAUCUCCAUUCACAAUGCACCCUUUCACAUGAAUUUCAAUUGGAUGAAUUUACAAUGCUCCCUUCUACUUAAAUUCCAAUGGCAAGCAUGUGACUGCCCCCUUUCACAAUGUGGAACAGUGUGAUGUAUUUACUUCUUCCAGUUUAUGUGUAACAGACUCCUCUUCAAUGCAUUCAGGGAGUUCAAAAGAUGUACAACGGUGGAAUGCGGGAUGUACUUACUCCUUUCAGUUUUUGUGUAAACAGACUCCUCUUGGUUGCAUUCAGGGAGUUUUAAAGGGAUGCCUCUUAUAAAGUAUAGAUUCAACCACAUCCCCAGUUCUGAUAUUUAGGACCUUUAGCGCAAGCUUGUCAAACUAACAGCCAAUACUGAAGCUUGGCAAGAACCAUCUUCUCACGAUAUUUUAAUGUAUUUUUUAUAUAUUAGCAAAGUUGUUUAUAUUUAUUCAUUUAGCAAAUUGUCUACAACGCCCUUUAUGGACUUUCGGUUUUUUUUUUUUCUUUUAUACUGCAGCCUAAAUACUAAAGAGUGAAAACUUACUUCUUUCCUAUCCUCAGAAAGUAAAUUCAUGUCUCCCUUUAUGGAAGUUACACUGGUGCUAUUAAAUGGUCAAUCAUUUUUUGUGAUUACAUCUUAAAGGGAACUUCAGUCAUUUAGAGAAUUUAUCUCUUUACAUUGCUCAAAAUGGUUUAUUAGUUAUUACCAGUUUGUUUAUCCAUGUUCACUAUGUCAGUUUGAAAUUAUUUUUUUUGCUUUCCAUCCAGAGUGAUAUAAGAAGCAAAGAAAUUAUUCAUAAUCUCUCUUUCAGAUAAUUAAAAGUUAAAACAAUUCCGGGCAUUGCAUAGGCAACAAACUUGACAUAUUAAAACCCCCACAUUUGUAGAAUUGUGCAAACUAUCAUCUUUAGGAAUCUAAUAUUAACUGGCUAUGAAGAGAACUGCAGAAAUUCCUAAUUUGUGGGUAUUAAAACAAAAGCAUAUAACUCAUCAGGCAAGGACAUAGUUAAUUGGCGAGAAGUGUCAAACGUUUAUAUUUAUAUAUCAUAGUUUGAACUCAAAAAUGAUAAUUUAAGUUGAAGAUCAAGAAAGUUUACCAUUCAUCCAGGACAUAACCAAUGCUUUUCUUUACUGAACUUUCUACCCUAUGCAGAUUUUCUGUCAUUGGCAAUUCUAUAUCAUCCCAUCGUGCAACUGCAUGCAGAAAAAAAGAAAAAGAAAAUCCCACAGUAAUACAUAAGAUUCAGGCAAGUACACAACACCAACAUGAAAAGAACAAUACAAGACGAGCAAAAAUGAAAAAAAGCAAUUGUUAUGCAAAUACUAACCAGUGGUUUCAGCUAAUCCCCUGGUGAGUAAACUCACCAACUCGUGCUGGUGUGUACCUUUAUCAUGUGAAUCAGUUUUACUUGACUUGCACUGAUCUGGCGCAUGGUUCAAGCAUAUUUUAGGCUGCUCAGAAGUACCAAGAGUGACACCAAUCUUUCGCUUUGUCUCAUCUAAUAAUUGAUCACUGGUAGAAUUACCAUUAGACUGAUUUCCAUUUUCUACUGUCUGAACAUUAGAAUCAGUUAUCAACCGAAACUGCAAGCUUUCACAGUGAGGGUGCUUGGAAGAAUUUACACUUAUGCUAUUAGUAGCCUCAGAUGUUGAUGUUCCUUGAUCGCUUACUCUUAAAUGAUCUGAAAGUCCACUUUUCAUGAGGUGUUUGGAACCUAGACAUCUUCUUUUUGUUCUCUUGAGUUUCUUCUUUUUAGCCAAAUUUAAUGAACUCAUAAAUAGUUGUUUCCUGCCAAAAUACUUGCUCUUUAAUAGAAUUUCUGGAAGUUUCUUCAAUUUUGUACCCAUUUCAUGGCAAGUACGAAUUGAUGUUUCAGGGACCGAUUCUGCAGCAAGUUCCUUAAGUAAACCAUUUGGAAUGUUUUUUUUAUUUGACAAUUUGAUAAGUUCUGGUUUCUCCACUUUAAGAAGGCCUUGGCCACCAUUCUGGUUUUGUAGAUUGCAUGAACGAACUUCAGAACUAAUUGCCUGGAUAAGUAAAAUCAGCAAAAACAUCAGUUCUGAUUUAACAACAAACACUAAUAGACGCUACAAUCUAUAUUUAUCUACCUGGUAUUUUGCAGCUGACAAAUUGCUGGUGCUGUUUUGAACGAAUCCAUUAGUAGGAGCUGACACACUCAAAUUUUCUUUCAAUUUAGCUUUCAAUUUCCCCUGGUGGGAUGCAUCAUAAUUUUGAAAUAUUCCGUUAGCAGCAGCAUCACUCUAGCAAGGACAAAGGGAGCAGACUUUAAAAAAAGAUAAACUAGCAUUCAUCCCGUUACUCUACCUGAGCGCGCACCACCCCNAAAAAAACACUCAUGAAAAGGUAGGAAAAAUGAAGUUUUACCUUGCAGAUAUCAGGUUCCAUGACAAGUGUCUUGGCAAGAACCUCAGAUGUAGGUUCAGGAAAUGCAGAGUUCUUUGACCCAGCAUGAAGGUAGUUUGACUUCACCUUCACAUCCAAACAAUUAGAAUCAUUUUCAGGCUCAAAAGAGGUAUCCUUUUUAUGAGAAGGUAUCACAAUAGGAUUGUCCUUUGGUUGAUCUUGCUUUGAGGAGUCGUCUGCCACCUUCUGAUCAGUAUUGUCAUUUGCAGCCACAGAUUCUUUCAAACAAUGCCCCAAUCCUUUAGAAGAAACAUUCCCAUUUAGUUGCAAGUUAGAAGAUUGAUUUGCACAUGACACGUUUUUGUUUGCAGAUUUUGGGGCUUCAUCCAGAUUUUCAUUGCCGCCAUUUCGCACAGAAGAUGCUGCCUCUUGCGAGGACUGACUAAAUUGUAUUUUUAUCAUAGAACUAGGCUGACAGCUGAUGGUAGGAUCUUUUUUCAAAUUCACCAUACUACAGAUGGAAGUGCUUAUUUUUGUUCCUGCCCCACCAUUUUGAUUUGCUCCUUUAGUGCCUGAGACAAUUUCACAGUUUGCUCUGUUUCCAGGGCCACAUUUAGAGAGGCUAUCCUUCUGCACCCCAUCAACUGAUCUUUUCACGAUCAAACUUCUAUCACGUACAUAGAAUAGCAUAUAGGCUUUUUGAGACAAUACAGUCUUCUCACUGACUUGGUGUACCUAUAUUUGAAUGUUUUAAAGAAAAGUCAGCACAAAAACCUAGUUGGCAACUUUCAUAACUUGAAAAUUUCUCAUUUCCCUUUAAUUCAUUGUCCUCCUUUUUGCGCUUAAGAUCCAUUAUGCACCUACUUGGAAAGGAUCACAUUUUAUACAUUUCAGACAACUAAAUGGACCAUCAGUAACUCCUCUACCAGUACUUUCCAAGUAUAUUUGCUAUUUAAGUUACAAGGAAGGAUAUAAACUCUAAUCUUAGAAAAUAGGACAUCACUGCCAACGUGUAGAUUAGCAGGAACAUACAUAUAUAUAUAUGCAUAUGCCUGCUGAUUGAAUCACAGAGUUGUUAGCAUGAUAUACCGGUAAGAUAUCAAAGUAAAUAGCAAUCAAAAUUCAAUAUUAAGGAAUCGUAGGCUUACAAAAUGUCCUCAAACUUAACCUGAUUAUCAUCAAGAGAAUGCCACAUGCCACUUGAUGUGCGUACGAAACAAUAAUAAUGACCAGAGUGGGUAUUCCAACCAGCAUGAACUAGGACACCAUAAAGGGUAUAUUUCAAGUCUCCCUCCUGCAAAGAUUACUGAAGAUUAUAGAAGCAAGAAAGGCAAAUGAAAGAGCAGCUGAAGCAAACCCAACAUUACACAUGCUUACUCACAUUGGGAUCGCUAACAAAUGGUUUCAAGUCGAUCCUGGGUUCAAACUCCACUUUUCUGUCAAUCUUUUGACCAGCAAUAUGAGAAUCAAAACGCUUGAGAUGAAUGGUGAGCACAAACGGAGCCUUAUUAAUCGUAAGCUGUUUAUAAGCCCUAACUUUCUGUUUGCACCGCUGACACUGAUAUUGCCUCUCCCCACCGUCAAGUUGCUCCAGCCCAGUGAAAUGUUUAAGUGCUUUAUGUAGAGAAUCAGCUUUCGCAAUUUCCAGACUCAAAUCCAAGAAUGGAUCAAACGUAUUCGAACAAUAGGAACACUGCAUACAUUUUACCUGCAGCACAAAUACAGAUAAGUCAAAACAGAUUACAAAGAUGGCCUCUUUCCUCUAUAAUACAUUUCCAAAUAAAAAAGAAAAAAAACCUAAGGCACCUGGCUUCUAAGACGACCGCCAAAAAUCUUGUAAACUAAACUUCUCUCAUAUGCACUAGGAGACUCACUUGGGACACCAGAAGGUAAACAACAUUUAUGCAUUGACUCAAGCAAGUUAAUCAUGUACUCAUGAGCAUCUUCCUGUCUGAAAUUCCGAAAAUUGCGAGAUAUGCCUGAAAGUAUAGUCAAAAGGUUGCAAUUCUUAAGUAGAGUAAAUCAACAGCAAGCAGUACAGAAAUAUAAGUGGAUCUAAUCAUUCAAAAAGUUUUUUUUGGGAGGGAGAUGGAAUCCAGGACACAAGUUUACAUCGCAAGUUCUUGACAAGAUGAGAUGGUGACAAUAUCUUCCCGGUAGAUUGUAGAGCAUGCAUAACAUGAUUCUGAAGAGCACACAUUGCACAGAAGCCAGCAGUACGGCCUAUAAAAGAUGAUGUGAAGUCAAGUUGACGAUCCAUAACAUGUGAAAAUGAAAAGCGCUAUAGUAAGGGAAGCCUAUUUUAUGACUUCCAUUCAAUUUCAGUGAGCACACAAAAGUUAAGUAGAAUGAUAUGCUCCACAUGCAAAUAUAAAUAGUUCCAUUGGAUGGAAAAAGAUGUGGUUAAAUAUCAGAAGAGAUAUUUCAAACAAAAUCGAAGGGUAAUCAACAGAAUCACAUAUACAUCUACACAAACUUACAUGACGACUUGUGCUUGCCGCUCUGCAAGUACGCUGCAAAAGGCUCCGUGUAUGUCAGGCAUUGGAGAACUGAAUUCAGAAAACAAGUAUUACCAAGAUUCGCCAAACCAGCACCCUGUAAGAUGCCGAACCUUUUCCAAUUUAGCUAGGAAAAUGAACAUUCCAGAUUUAGGGCCUCUUUGGACCACUUUUAUUUCUUUCAACAGCAGUAGUUUCUAGUAAAGCAUUUACUAAACGAAAAAAAAAAAGACGUAGAAAGAGCAUCUACUGCAGAAGAAAGCACAUAAAGAAUAAGAGUUGGGUCCUCAAAAGCAGAAGCUCCGAUCUGAUAAUUCUGACUGUGCUGUAGAAAGAAGCUGUUGAAGGUUUUCAUAUAGUGCUUCUCGUAAUAGCACAACUCAUACAGCAGUUCACCAAACAGCACGAUACCCUACAGCAAGGCCAAACAGGGCCUAGCUACAUGCCAAAUAGAUAUCAAUAAGAGACCACAUGAAUCAGCGCCGAAGCCCUAAAUUUGGUGAAAAUUGAAGCAUCAAAACCAUGUUUUAUACCAAUCUAAACAUGCAAACGAAGCGAUCGAACAAAUCGAGGCACAAAAUCCCAACGAAUAUUACGAAAAAGCCGAAAAGCCCCCUACUCACGAUUCUCCGGAAGGUGAUCCUGAAGCCGAGCUCCGGAUCCAACCCAUGCUCGUAGAACUCCCCGCCCUCCGAUCUCUUCCCCGCCGCAGUGGCCNAGCCGAAAAGCCCCCUACUCACGAUUCUCCGGAAGGUGAUCCUGAAGCCGAGCUCCGGAUCCAACCCAUGCUCGUAGAACUCCCGGCCCCCGGCGCUGAUCGGAGCCGGGGUUUAGAGUUUCGAGGCGAAAUCCGCCGCCGCCAAUCGCGCCCGACGCGGCGGCGGCGGUGGCGGAAGAGGGCUUCCGCGCGGGGUGGAACUCGAUCCUCCUACCGAAUAGCGACUCCACCGUGGGAGCGGGUGCGGCGACGACGGCGGCGGCAGCGGCGGAGGAAUCCUCCGCCAUGGGCGCCGAGAAGCGGGGGAUCGAACAGAGGUUUAGGGUUUUGGGUUAGGGUUUGCGGAUCGGGGAAUGGGGGAGAGGGGUCGGGGGAGAUGGAGAGAGAGAGAGGGUUUUUUGGGCGCCGCUUUUGUAGAGCAGGACGUUUUGCGCGUUUCGAUCCGUCGCUCUCUCGCUCUCUCUCGCCCUCUCUUAAUUGGCCGGUAGAGAAGGAGAUUUUUGGGAGGAGGGUGUGGAUAUAAACCCUAUACCCUCGACAAAUUAUCCCCUGGACCUGGUGUACCGAUAUACACGCACCGCAACUAGAGAUGUCAAUGGGUAUGCAUGCCUGAAAUUUUAUCGGAAUCCAAACCCGAACCCGAACGGAGCGAAUUUAUCUGAUGCUAAACAGCUAUGAUUCGAAUAUGGAUAUCAAAAAUAAAAAUCCGACGGAUAUAGAUUAGGAUAUGAAUUUUGACCGUACCCUACCCAAACCCGAAUUUAUUUUAUAUUAUAUAUAACAUGUAUAUACAAAUAUAGUAUUAUAUUUGAAUUUGUAUUUUAAAAAAUUUAUAUUUAAUGUAAUAUAUUUUGAAAUAUUGAAAAGAGAAAUAAUUGCUUCAGGUUCGAAUUUUCAGGUUCGGGUUCGAGUUCGGUUUCAAAUUUUUGGUCGGGUUCGGGCUUGGAUAUGGACUUUUAAAUCUGUCGGGUUCGAAUUCGGAUUUAGAGUUCGGUUUGGGUUCGGAUUUUUAAAAAUCUACCUCAAAUCCGACCAGUUGACAUCCUUAACGGCAACUAAUAUUUAGUGGCUUACCUUCUUAAUAUAAAAUCUAGCUAAAUAUAUAUAGUCGGAUAUCGUAGCUCCAUAAAAUAUAAUUUUAAAUUUUAAAUUAAAAUAAAUCUCAAAGAAUUUACAUGGAAACAUGCUGAUGAUGUUAUACAAUUAUGUAAAUUUUACUUUCUAUUAUAUUUAGAUUUGGUACAUAUACUUUUUGAAUUCAUUUGGAAUCAAAUUUAACUAAAUUUCAAUCAAAUUAGGGAUAGUAUUUAUUUAGAAAUAUAAAUUUUUUUAUUUGAAAAAAAAUAAUUAGAGUUCAUAAAUUUUAUUCUAUGUAAUUAUACCAAUAGAUUUUCAAAUGAUCUGACAGUAAAUUAUGAGAAUUGGAUGAAAAAUAUUUGUAUUAUAAGAAAUUCCAUCAUAUCCUUUCAAAUUAGUUAAAAUCAUAUUAGUCAAUGAUUCCAAUAAAUCGAUUAAAAAAUUAGUAUUUUAAUUCUCGAGAAAAGUGAUAACCUAAAAUACCCAGAGGGUCAUGUUUGUGAAAUAUUAUGACUUUCGAAAAUGUAUUAUUUAGGCAUAAUCUAUUAGAAAUGAGCAACUAAAGUUUUAUUUUCUUUUAUUUUGAAUUAUUUUAAAUUAUAAAAAUAGAUGUAAAAUUGAAUUUGGGUUUUGUAGGUAGGUAUUUUGGAGUACGGUGCACGGUGGACCGGGUGCACGCAACAAUCUCUUGAUUCCCUGUGGGAUUUGGCCCACGCGCCGACUGAUAAACGGCGAGGAUGGAUUUAGGGCGUGAUCUGAGCCGUCCAAUUAUCGUCCCAUGAGGCUUUUUUUAAGAGAGAAAAAAAAAAUAGCAAACUAUUUUUUUUAAUAGAAAUAAAAUCACCUCUAAAAUUUCAGUGAAUAUUAUUUUUUUAACAUUAAAUAUAUAGAAACCCUUCUAAACUUUAGUUCUCUUGCAAAUAGGCGCGCAAACUUUCAAUUUUAGUAAUUAUAUAUAUUUCUAAAAUUUAUCAAAUUAUUCAAAUUAUAAUGGAUUAUAAUUUUCGAUCCGAACUUUUUAAAUUAUCAUAAUAAAGUUUUACGCUACAAUUUAUAUUUAUUAAGUGGUGAUAAAUUGUCAAUAUGAUUGUAGCAUGAUUAAAAUUUAUGAUUCCCACACAAACAGAAAAGUUGGGGGACAGAAUUUCAGCGGGGAGUUAACUAAAAGACGCCUUAUCGGAGAACCUCUAAUCCACUACCAUAUGUUAAUUUUAUCUCUAUCUAAGAAUUCGUUGGGUGUUUAUUGAAUACUAUAUUCAAAAAAAAAUCUAGAAAAAAAUUAUAACCUUGGAUAGAAAUAAAACUGAUACAUGGAUCGAAUGGAUAGCUUAAUGUUGAGGGAUAAGGAUCGUAGUUGUAGUUAAAAACUACGCCCUACCAUCCAUUGAGCCAAACAGAGCCUAAGUACAAGUCUAGUUAAAACAAGUAGAAUAAAUAUUAAAUUAUAAAAUACAAAAGAUUUAAUACAGAUAUAUACUAAGCAAUUAUAAUUUGUCGGUGCUAAAAAAAUAAAUAUUUCAUAUCAUAGUGUGUCGGCAUACAGAUAUUUUGCGACCAACACAUAUCGACACAAAACUACACGUAUCUUACCGUAUUGAAUCGAUAAUUUUUCGGCAUUAUUCCGCACCACGGUGCUUAAAUUGUUGUAUUAGCGACAUGACAAAAAUGCAAAAAUACCCCAUCUAUAAGGACAAAAUUGGGUCGAGCCCAUACCGAACCUUUGACGAGAUGAGUGGGCCCAAUCCAAUUUUAGUGUAGUAUUUUACAUGGCCCAAUAGUUAGAUGGCCUCUGAGAAGAUAAGCCUUUUAGGUUAAAUUAGGGGCGGCAAAAAUUCGGGUCAAAACUAGAUUGAACAAUUAGAGUAGGACUUGUGUGCUAUUAGGAACACGGAGGUUUUCGUGCUCCUAAACCGUUUUCGAUGAUGGUACUUUUGAAUCGAUGAUCGGCUCCGUUAGACUUGAUCCAGCGUAUUUUAAAUAUUUAGACAAUAAUUUUUGUAGAUUUUCGAUAUCAUUUACCUAAGAAUCGAAAUGAUUCAAAAUCAACAAUUUUUAAUGGUUGAUGUAUGCCGUUCGUAAGUUUUACGGUGAGAAAGUAUUCAAAUCAGAUGAAAUUUUGAUAAAUUUUUUUUUUAUAUUAUUUACUGAAAGAUCAAUAUCUCUGAUACAAAAUUUUAGUGCUAUAUAAUUACUUUUUGCGAGAUUUUUUAUUUUCAGUCAACUCUUUCGAUUGCUAGGUAAAUGAUAUUGAAAAAUCGUAAAAUUUAUUUUCUAGAUACUUCAAAUACGCUAAAUCAAGUCUAACGGAACCAAUUGCCGAUUUAGAAGCUCUAUCAUAGAAAAUGGCUUAGGAGCAUAAAAGUCACCUUGCUCCUAAUAGCGCACAAGACCUACUAAAAUAAUUAUCAGGAAUGCUGAAUAUUAUUACUAUUUACUACAUCCAGAUUCAAUUCGUAUCUAAACUCCGGAUAACAUAUAUAUUCGUGUAAACCAAAUUUCAAAAAAAAAGAAAAGAAAAAAAAAGCAUAGAACUAAAAUUAUUUGAAUUUUAAAAUGAACUAUUUAAAAAGGUGAUGUAACAUAAUUCAACUUUACUAUUCAAUUGAUCUUACAAUUGAUAUUUUUAGUGGUUAAUAUCAGCUGAAUUUGUGACAAUUAAUCACCAGGUAGAUGCUGUUGUAAAUUCCCGAAAUUAGCUUCUUAGUAAUGAUGCGAGAGACCGACCAUCCCUAGGCCCUAGCGCAAGUGGCAAAAAGCUUGGUAGUUGGUACUCGAGGUCCUGAGUUCGAAUCCUAGUUGAUUUACAUUUCCAGCUAAGUUUAUUUUUAAAUAAAAUAAACGAAGCGGGUAGCGUGCUAUCUAUCUCUCAAAUAAAAAAAAAGAAAAAAAAAAAGAGAAAGAGGCGCAUGUGUGAGAAAAGGAAGAGGGUGCGAGAUACCAACAGCAGCGGACAAGGACAGAGAGGAGUGCGGAGUAGAAAACAACGUCAAGGACGAUACUAGCAGAGAGUCUAUCACCAAGGAUGACUUAACAAGCAUUGCAGAGUAACCAAUUAUUCCUAACACAAGUGAUAAAAAAUUUGAUAAUUGGUAUUCAAGCUUCUAAAUUCGAAUUCUAAUUGAUUUAUAUUUCCAGCUAAGUUUAUUUCUAAAAAUAUAAAUGGAGCAGAUAGUAUGCUACAUUUCUCCCUUAAAAAAAAAAAUAAAAAAAAAAUAAGCAUCGCAGCGUAGGCAGGCAAGGAAGGCGGUUGGUGGUGACUACAGGGAGAUCAAUGGAUGUCUCUUGUACGCAGAAGCAUCUCUUGUACGCAGAAGCACGAGAAGAGAGCGAGGGCAUUAGAUCGACCAUUAAGAGAGCAGAAAAGGUAGAUAAGGAGAAAUAGAAGGCAAGGUAGGAACUCACAACAGAGAGAAAUGAAAAAGUUAGAGUUAAUUUCAUACAGGACUAUAAAUAUAGUGAAUGACAAAUAUAUUUUUAUAAAAUUCAACUUUCAUAUAUUGUUCCUGUAAAAAUCCUAAUAUUUUCAAAUAUUUUCCUCUGGUUUGUUAUCGUUAGAGAACCGUUUAUAUUUUCAAUUUGUCUUCACAAAUAUAUCUAUCCAAAAGCCAUAACAGCAUAAUAUAAAAAAGUAAAAAAAUUAAAAAUUAACCAGAGUUAAGUAUUUAACCUAUAAUUAACUAAAGUUUUCUAACAGGUUCUAACGGCAGGGACGUAUUUGAAAAUAUCAGAAUUUUUAUAGAGACAAUAUAUGAAAGUUGAACUUUGUAAGGAUAUAUUUGCCAUUCACUAUAUACAAGGAUUUGUAUGAAAUUAACCCAGAAAGUUAUCUACCCCUGUGGCACCACAUUAUUUAUAUUUCCAACUAAUUAGCUUCGUGUACCACUGUUGUGGUUUCAUAUUUUCUCACUUUAAUUAGUACUUUGUGGUUUAAAAAAUAUCACUUUAGUAUCCCGUGGUUUCAUUUUUCUCUUUCCGUUAUCCCUCCAUUAGUUUUUCCGUUAUACAGUGAUAAAAUUAAAACCAUAAAAUACUAAAGUAAAAAUACGGUAAGCCGCACGGUAUUCAAGUGAAUGUUCAAUAAACCAUAUGUGAGAUAUUUAAAGUUUUUAUAUAUGAUUUAAUGGAGGCGCUGAUGGAAAGAAAAAAAAUAAAAUCAUGGAGUACUGAAGUGAGGUAUUUUAAACCAUAUGAUACUAAAAUGAGAAAGCACAAAAAUUACAUGAAUAAUAUUUUAAUUUUUUUUAACAAAAAAUUAUUAUACUGUUUUUUU